Non-coding RNA from Callithrix jacchus (white-tufted-ear marmoset), 51946 nucleotides. The record is from RefSeq and is a predicted model, not a curated record. Lineage: Eukaryota; Metazoa; Chordata; Mammalia; Primates; Cebidae.
AAUAGGGGCCUAAAAUGCUCUUGUAGGUAUCUUUUGCCUUUGACAAAUAUCCUAUUAAAGCAAAAUUAGAAGAAAAUUGCCUAAGUCUUUGUUUUAUAAGAAACUCCAUGGUAAAAAGACUGAAAGAAAAUAAGUCAAAGCAGAGACAGUUAAAAUUUCCUUUGUUUUCUGAUUUUGAUCAAAAAUACUGACUAAUAAAAACUAAUAAAAAAAUUUAAAACUGAGUGAAGUUUAAAAAUAUGUAACACAUAGCUCUUUUUAAGCUGCAUAUAUAUACAUUAAUAUAUGUUACAUACUUGCUGAAUAUAUAUUCUAUUCUUUCCUGCCUCCUGGCUUGUUGAAUGCUAUCACACUCUUCCUUAAUCCCUGUAUCUAUAUUUACAUUGCAAGUCUUGUUGAAAUGCUACUUAAGUGGAAUUUUCUUGGUAUUUUAUCUAUAUAAUGUUUGUACUUGAUAUCUGCUUAUUUAUGUAUAUCACUUAGCCUAUAAGCUCUUUGGGGGUAGAAUGUGGCAUUUAUAUUUAUACAUAUUUAAUUCAUAUAGCUGCUAAAACAGCAGUGCCUAAUUCACACUCACUAAGGGCAGUUUUAAAUAUAGAUUCAUCCUUGAAGUUUCAUAUUCAGUACAUCUAGAUUGUGUCCUAAUUAUUUCUAUGUCUUAAAAGCUAUCCAUGUGAUUCUGCUGCACAGAAUUUUGUAAAUUAGUGCGCUAGAGGACCUGACAGUGGUAACUCAUGUAGAUCAGGUGUUUAAUGAAUAUUUGGCUAACAAAUAAAAUAAUAAAUUAAAAAAAUUAAUGUUUAUGUUCAAGUUUUAUAUGUAUGUGCAUAUUAAUUCUACUUUUAUAUUAAAAUUGCUAGACUAAUGGGCAACUUAGAGACUGACUUAUGUUCUUUCUGCCUCCUCAUCUUCAGACCUCCCACUCACUCUCUAUAUUGCCAUCAGAAUUAACCUUUUGAAAAAUAAAUGUAAUCCAAUAGCAUCCCUGAAAUUCUUUUGUGUGGCUUAAAGGGCUUUCCAUGAGUUGGCUCUUUCUUGUUUCUCCAGGCUUUAGCUCCUGUUACCUUCUACUUGUCCUCUUCAAUCUAGCCGUAUGGAACUGCUGGCAACAUAUCCAUUGGUUCAUUCCUCUGGGCUCUUAAUUCUGCCUAGAAUACUCUUUUAUACUGUAUCUACUUGACAAACUUUUACUUAUUUUUUAAAAAACAUAUUCAUCUUAAGGAUAAUAGUCUCCAUCCUUUGCGCCACUACCAUAUAUCUCUGUUGUAAUACUUGUCACAUCCCAUAAUAAAUACCGAAUUUAUUUCUGGGUUAAAACCCAGAAGAGAAACUCUAUUAUUCGAACCUAAAACUCACUACCUUGCCAGAAUGUAUGUAAUGCUUAGUAUAUUAGAAAAGAAGUCUACAUAAUUUCUUAUAAGGUGUAUCUUUUUUAAAAAAGUAAGUUAUUUCAGAUGAAAUAUUUAAUAGAAAGAAAAGGGGAAAUAAAAUAUUCCCAACCCAAUGCUGUGUCCAAGCUGCAUGUUAAAAGGACAUCUCUAAUUGUUACCAGAAGAUGUAAAAGAGCAGCAUGCUUGAAUGUCAUUUCUCUUUCAUCAUUUGUACCUAAGUAAGAAAAACAUAUUUUAAAACAUAGACAAUAUACUACAGUUUCAGAAUGUGUAUCAGAAUCUGCCUACUAAUGGGAGCUACCAUUUAUUAUUGAGUGCUUACUAUAUGCCAGGUUGUACAUAAGCUGGCUAUUUCAUUGAAUCCAUAACAGUAAUCCUAUCAGACAAGUUUAUUAUGAUCAAAAUUUUAUGAAUGAGGAAAUAGUAUUAAUGAGGUUAAGUAACUGUCUAAGGUCAGUUAGUGAGUAAAUGGUAGAGCUGUCAUUCAAACUCAGACAGCUAACCUUAGAAUUCAUGUCCUUGUUGCUUCCAAAGAAUAUUCACUUAUUUCUACUCCUAUUGGGAAAAAGAGUCAAUGGUUCCCAGUUAUGAAACAAGAUAAAAAUAAAUUCAUAACUUACCAACUGAUUAAAAGUAGGGGAUUAUAACAUGAAGAUAUACCCUGAAAUGGAGGUAGACACCUAGAAAUAUUUAUUCAAAGGUAUAACUCAAACAAGGGAUAAACUCACAGGGACAGGCUAAUUGCCUAACUGUGUUCCAUUUAGUUCCAGAGCUUUUUUGGAUGAUAGGUUGGAUUUUUCUGCAUAUAAAAGUGAGACCAAGAAGAUGGUAAUCUAGACCCCUACCCCAAUUUAACCAGAGAAGCUCUACUUUUUUCUUUUUCAUAUAUUGGGAUCUCAUGAAAUAUUUAUUUGAACAAAGAAUUCUGCUAAAAAGUUUGCAAAUUGAUGAUAUAUUCAAUGAAGAUCAAGGCAAAUAUGUAGUAGGGAAUUAAGAGGCAAUAGGAAAGCCAAUUAUGCGUAAUAUAUUCAGCCCCUAGAAGGACUUGUGGGAACAAGUCAACGAUGACCUGCAAGGGCAGAGAAAACAUAUGUGGGGAACUGGAAAUGUAGAAAAUGCUUGGAAAAUGGAGUACAGACUAGGAAACUAGUUGUGGGAAAUGGUCUGACUUCUUUUAAUCUAGGUUUACUUAAUCGUUACUUGUAGGCUUAGUUUAUCUCAAUUCUGGGGCCAAAAAAAGAAUAUUAAGUAUAACCACUAUUGACUUGCUCGGGAUUAACGCAAUGUUUUUCCAAUUGGAUACCCAAAGCCAUGUCCCUUUUUAAUCAUCCAUUAUAUUUCAUAAAUACUUAUGCCUGUAUAUUUUAUAAUAAUCAUCAUUCUUCUCAAUGAUGUUCAAAGCCUUUAGAAGCUCAACCCAUAUUCAACCAAUUUAAAACUUGAGAAUUACAGGACUGAAACUAUAUCCAGAAGACAUAAGUUUUUAUUUUAUGGAAGUCUUGUCUUCAUAAAGGCCAGUUGGCUGACAAUUGUUCUUUUCUAUCCAGUAUAAUCAUUACCAGAAUGCCAGCUCCCCAAAGUGUUGAUCUUGAGGCUCUUUCUGUGGCUCAGGUAUUUCAAGUAGUAAACUAUGGAUUAACACCUUCCUCUCAGAUCAAGUAUUCUAUCUCAGUAAUACUACUGUGACCUCAAGGUUUUAGUGACUAAAAUGUUGCUUCCCGCAAAGACUGGGCACUCUAUUUGGAAGAUUAAAUUCAACUUUCUUUUCAUUUGUAAAAGACAGUUAACCUUUAAAAAAAUAUAUAGGACAUCCAAGUUUAAUGAAUUUAGAAAAUAGACUUUAAAUAAAAAUAAAUUAAGUAGGUUCCAGGUAAGAUGGAGUAAGCAUACUUCACCCUGUCUCUUCCAUUGAAUACAACAAUAAACACAAACUAGAAUACAUGAAAUCUCUAAAAGGUAAAUGGUAGCAAGUGGACUGGAGGAGAUCAGAUUUCAAAAUGCCACCAAACAAGUGGUGAGUUUCCUUUUUUUUUCCACUUAUGGUAUUUACUAGCCUAGACUAAAGCAGACCAAGGCCCAGAAGUAUAUACCACCAUGUGGACAGAAAGAGCUCCAAAAGAAGGCCUCAUUUUGUCUACUAUAGAAAACUAGGUUGAUGUUAUUUCGCUUUCAGAAUUUUCAAAAGGUUACUCAUUGUCUUUUCAUUUGUAUUAUUUAUGUCAAGAAAUCUCAUGUCACCCGUAUCUUUGUUUCCUGUAUGUAGCAUGUCUUUUUGUUCCUCUGGCUCCUCCUACAGUUCUUUUAUAUUAUUGGUUUUGAGUAAUUUGAUUACGUGGACCUUGUUUUAGCAUUCUUCCUGUCUCUUGUACUUACUGUUCAUUGAGAUUUUUUGCAUCUGUGGGUUUGUAGUUUUCAUUAAGUGUAGAAAGAUUUCAGUCAUCAUUUCUUCAAAUUUUUUUUCCAUUUACUCUUUUCUCCUCUCUUUUGAGAAUGCUAAUUACCAGAAUGUUAGGCUACUUUAAGUUGUUUCACAGCCUACUGAUGCUCUUUUAUUUAUUUUCCAUUUUUUCAUGCUUUACAGUUUUUGAGAGUAACAGCUUCUAUUGCUAUGCUUUCAAGUUAACUAAUUUCUUUCUUCUGCAAUAUUUAAUCUGCUGUUAAUCCCAUCCACUAUACCUUUAAUCUCAUGCAUUAUAGUUUAGUCUCUAGAAGUUUGAUCUAGGUAUUUUUAAAUGUCUCUAACUUUUCAAACAAACAGAAAACAGUUAUAAGAAGUUUUGGUGUCCUUUUCUGGUCAUUCUAAUGUCUUUGUUGAUUCCGGGUUUGUUUUGCUUGAUUAUUCUCAUUAUGGGUUGUAUUUUCCUGCCUCUUUGUAUACUUCAUGAUCUAAUUGGAUGCCAGACAUUGUGACUGUUACCUUGUUGUGCAUUCAUGUAUUCAUAUAAAUCCUCUUGUGCUUUAUGAUGGGAUGCAGCUAUGUUCCUUGGAAAUAGUUUGAUCCUUGGUGGGUUGCUUUGUGAUUUGUUAGGGAGGUUCAGAGCAGUGAUAAGUCUAGGGAUAAUUAUCCCCCACUACUGAGGCAGGAUUUUUCUGAGUACUCUCCUUAAUCCUCUAUUAAUUAUGAGUUGUUCUAGUCUACCUGGUGGGAACAGCUAUUAUUCCUGCCCUGUGUGAAUGCAGCAUACUAGGCCAUCUAGUCCUUUCCGAUGAUUUGUUUCUCUAACUCCAUGUAGUUUCCUCACAUAUAUUAUUUGUUUGUUUUUGAGAUGGAGUCUCGCUCUGUUGGCCAGUUGGCAUGCAGUGGCAUGAUCUCAGCUCACUGCAACCUCCGCCUCUCAGGUUCAAGCAAUUCUCCUGCCUCAGCCUCCAAAGUAUCUGGGAUUACAGGUGCAUGCCACCACACCAGGCUAAUUAUUGUAUUUUUUAGUAGAGAUGGGGUUUCACCAUAUUGGCCAGGCUGGUCUUAAAUUCCUGACCUCAGGUGAUCCACCUACAUCGGCCUCCCAAAGUGCUAGGAUUAUAGGUAUGGGUCACCAAGCCUGGCCACUUCACAUAUAUUCUUUGAUCAAUCAUCUGCUGAAUACUCAAGAGAUAUCCUCUGCACAAUUCUAUACUUUCUGUGUGAAGCUCUCUGCUCUCUAACAUUCUGUUUUGAACUCUUAUCUGUCUUGGUCUUCCUGGACUCUCACCUGUUUCUUCAACUCAGAUUGUCCACCAGGCUCUGCCUCAGGUAACUUUCCCUACACCAUGGCCUGACAAUUCUUUCAAGACAGUUACCUAGGGUAAUAGUAGAGCUCAUUUCACUCAUUUCCCUUCUCUCAAGAACCACUACUUUUCAUUGCCUGAUGUCCAGGGUCUUUCAAAACCGGUUUCAUGUAUUUUGUCUUUGUCUUUUUUUUUUUUUUCUUAGGAGGGUAAAUCUAGUCCCUGUUACUCCAUCUUGGCAGAAAGAAAAAGUCUAGGAUUGAUUUUAGUUUUUGGGGAAUGAUCCAAGAUGGCUGAUCGCUAACAUCUCGGGAUUGCAGCUCCCAGUGAAAGCUCAGAGAACAAGAGGACGCCACACUUUCAGACAAACUUUGGUCGCUCACGGAGCAGAAGAUUCCCAGUGGAGGAGCUCCAUGGGUCGCCAGCAUGAUUCUUGUGGCCGGCGCAGCGGUUUCACUGGCACCUUGGCGUGGCAGCUCUCGGUGUAGAGUAAACGGGACUGGUUCCCCUUCUGACCAAGGUUUGGAGGAGCCACAUGGGUCGCCAGCACGACUCUUGUGGCCGGCACAGCGGUUGUGAUAGCACCUCGGCGUGGCAGCUCUUGGUGCCGAGUAAACGGGACUGGUUCCCCUUCUGACUGAGGUUUGGAGCUCCAGGAAGGCAGAGUUGCCUAUUAUGGACUCAAGAAGGAAGCCAGACUGGAGAUUCCCGGGUAGAAAAGCACCAUCAGUCUUAAUGCGGCUGUUUUGGCUGGCGCAGUCAGUUGCUCAUAUUUCGGCCCUGGGCAUUAACUUGGACCCACUCAGCAACCUAAUUUGAAAGUUGGUAAUUACAAAGACGACAGGGGGAUAAAUUUACAAUGAUGGGAAGAAAUCAACAUAAAAAGGCUGAGAAUACUCAAAAUCAGAACGCCUCUCCCUCUAAAGAGGAUCACAAUUCCUCAUCAACAAGGGAACAAGACUUGAUGGAGAACAAGCGCAUCCCAUUAACAGAAUCAGGCUUCCAAAGAUGGAUAAUAAGAAACUUCUGUGAGUUAAAAGAACAUGUUGUAGCCCAAUGUAAAGAAACUAAGAACUUUGAAAAAAGGUUUGACGAAAUCCUAAUGAGAAUAGACAACUUAGAGAGGAAUAUAAGUGAAUUAAUGGAACUGAAGAAUACAAUGCAGGUACUCUGAGAAGUAUGCACAGGUUUAAACACUCGAAUUGUUCAAGCAGAAGAAAGGAUAUCAGAGGUCGAAGUCCAACUUAAUGGAAUAAAAUGAGAAGACAAGAUUAGAGAAAAAAGGAUAAAAAGGAAUGAGCAAAGUCUCCAAGAAAUGUGGGACUAUGUGAAAAGACCAAAUUUACGUUUGAUAGGUGUACUUGAAUGCGACAGAGAGAAUGAAUCCAAGCUGGAAAAUAUUCUUCAGGAUAUUAUUCAGGAAAAUUUUCCUGAACUAGCAAAGCAGGACAAUACUCAACCCCAGGCAAUACAGAGAACACCACAAAGAUAUUCCCCAGGAAGAGCAACCCAAGGCACAUAGUCGUUAGAUUCACCAGGGUUGAAACAAAGGAGAAAAUACUAAGGGCAGCCAGAGAGAAAGGUCAGGUUAAUUACAAAGGGAAGCCUAUCAGACUUACAGCAGAUCUCUCAGCAGAAACUUUACAAGCCAGAAGAGAGUGGGGGCCAAUAUUCAACAUCCUUAAAGAACAGAACUUUCAGCCCAGAAUUUCAUAUCCAGCCAAACUAAGCUUCACAACUGAAGGAAAAAUAAAAUCUUUUAUGAACAAGCAAGUACUCAGAGAUUUUAUUACCACCAGGCCUGCUUUACAAGAGCUUCUGAAAGAAGCAUUACACAUAGAAAGAAACAACCAGUAUUAGCCUUUCUAAAAAUGUACCAAAAAAUAAAGAGCAUCAACAUAAAGAAGAAUUUACAUCAACGAAUGGAUAAAACAGCCAGUUAACAUCAAAUGACAGUAACCCUAAAUUUAAAUUGACUCAAUCCCCCAAUCAAAAGAUACAGCCAAAACCCAACGGCAUGUUACAUCCAGACCCAUUUCACAUGCAAGGAUACACAAAGACUCAAAACAAAGGGAUGGGAAAAGAUUUACCAACGAAAUGGAGAGCAAAAAUAAAUAAAUAAAUAAAAAGCAGGAGUUGCAAUUCUCUUAUCUGAUAAAAUAGAUUUUAAAGCAACAAAGAUAUAAUGGUAAAAGGAUCAAUGAAACAAGAGCUAACGAUCCUAACACCCAGAUACAUAGAGACUUAGACUCAAUGAGACAGAAAAUUAAUAAGGAUAUCAAGGACUCAAACUCAGAUCCAGAACAAGUAAACUUAAUAAAUUUUUAUAGAGCUCUCCACUUUCAAUACACAAAAUAUACAUUCUUGUCAAUACCGCAUCACACCUACUCAGGUUUAAAUGAAACAUUGGCCAUUAUUAAUACCCAUUUUUUUUUAGAAUAAAGCAACAUUUCUGUUCUCUCUCCUUCUUUUUCUUCCUCUUUCUUCCUCUCCUUCACUCCUUUUUUUUCUUUCCUUCUCUCAAAAAAAGAAAAAAAAGAAAUCAACUUGUAGACCUCUAGAUCCAGGUCGGCAAUGUCUCUUUCAUUGCUUGAUUUCCCUCCUUCCCUUCUCUCUCUCCCUCCCUCCCUUCCUUCCUCCCUCCCUUCCUCCUUUCCUCCCUUUCUGCCUUCCUCCCUUCCUUAAAAAAAAAAAAAAUCUAGUUUUUGACCUACUUUUUUGGGAGGAGACAGAGUGGUUCAGAUUCGGACAACAAUAAAGUUAAUAAAGUUUCUGCAAUAGGAAUCUGUCAAGUGAUACAUGUCAAUUAGGAGCUUCACUGAGAAGCAAUGCCAGGAUCAAUACCAAUGAUAUUUCUUACCUUUUUCUCUACUUAGCUGAUCCUUCAGUAUUGGUUUGGCUGGGUAUAAUAAGCUGAAUUACAGUCAUGAUAUAACCUAUGACUAAUUUCUGAAUCUUCUAUAUUCAAUUUUUACUAAUUUGAUACAAUAAUUUCUAAAUAUAGCUUUUUAAAUAAUGUGACUUUUAUUUGAACUCACCUUGGUAAACAGCAUCACUUACUACUUUUUCUUGUUCCUUUAAGAGAAACCUUGUUUGGUCAAAAAUAACAGUGGCAAAUUUCCAAUUAGCAGUAGGGAGAGUACAGAAAGAUAUAAGGUUUUUUAAGAUAGGAGAAGCUGCCGCUUCAAGGAGGCAAAAUGCUUGGCACUGGCUAUCUGCAAAAAUAAAAGCAGUAAUGGCAGUGUUUUAAUAAAGAUGGUAUGCUCUUUUUGAUAAACCAAUUAAAUAUGUUAUUUUGUGGAAAUCUGAACUUCUAUCUGAAUUAUUUUCUGAGUUAAAAAUCAUGAGAUUAUACAAAAACUUAUUUUAAGAUAUUUAUUCUACAUAGACUAAUUAAAAAACUCAUGGAAUUAUAUAAUUUUAUGGCUAUAUUAUUUGAGAGGGUUUAUUCCAUAAAUAACUUGACAUGGCAAAUAUAAAGACCCAUAUAAAGAGAAUUGCAUUUUUAAAAUUUGUCAUUCUCCAUUAGUAGCAUACAAUCUUAAGCCAAACAAUGAAAAAUUGUUUCCAGUUUUCUCAAGAAUAACAUUAACAAUUUGCGUAAUCAUCUACAGACCACAAGAAUGAAAAGAUGAGAACCUGGGUCAUAUUUCCUUAUUGAUUUUAAUAAUGAACCUGAUGUUCUUAAGCAGGCUGUUCUUUAGAGUUGAAGAAUAUUCUUCUUUACAGCAUAACAAAAAAAUCAAUAUAGGAAUCAAUAGUAACUUAUUUACAUCCCUCUGAUAGUGGGUAAGAGAACACAGAGAGCAUGAUUAGCAGUUCAUUUUCCAGUCUGGGCGGAAGAGUCCAAGGAGGUACAGUUGUUCUCAGAUUGAUAUAGGGAAGCAGCAGUAGUUUAAAUUAAAGAAGAAAUAACACUGAAUGGUUUGGGUAGGGCAAUGGGGGAGGUAGGAGCAGUGGACUGAGCAUUUCAGGUUGGAAUAAAACUUGAAAGUAGGAGUGGAAUGAAGAAAUAUCUGAAACAAGUGAAGAAAAUGACGUGGAAAAUGCAGUAUGUCCUAGCUGUCUAGGAAAGGGCUUUCAAACUAAGCAAAUCUGAAUGCAUUUUAAAAGCAUAUACCAUACCUGAUGCUUGAAUUUCAAUGACAUUAUCUGUUCCCCUUUCCUGAUUUAUUUCCUCUAGGGUUUUAUUAAUAUGAAUGAUAGGACUUUCUUCUUGAAAAGUCAAAGAACAUUCUUCUUUAUCUUGAAAUUCCAAUAAAAAAUAUAAAUUUGUGUUUUUCAAGAGAAACUUAAUGUUGUUUUACAUUAAUUGUUUUUCUAAAAUAUGAUCACAGUUGUUAAAUUUCUUCAUUGAAACACAUCAGUAUUAAAGUGAACAACUAUUUAGAUCAAUGGACCUAACACUGCUAGGUAAGAAGAUGAAUGGUAAAAAUGGAAAAACCUUUGGUAUCAGAUCAGUAUUUCAAGCUCAGUUCUGACUCAGUUUCCUCAUAUGUAAAAUAUGGAUACAUAUAUCUGCUUUAAACACCAAGUAUAGUUUCUGACACAGAAGGUAUGUACCGUUCCCCUUAAUUUCUCUGUGACUUUCCAUAUACCCUUCCUUCUACUACUAAUCCUCUCCUCUGCCCCAAACCUUCCCUAUUUCCAUCUUUUUUUCUUUAACUAGGCCAAUUCUUUUUCUUUUCUUUUCUUUUUAAGACAGGUUCUCCCUUUGUCACCCGGGCUGGAGUGCCAUUGGUAUGAUCAGGGCUCACUGCAGCCUCAACCUCUUGGGUUCAAGGCAGUCCUCCACCUCAGCCUCCCAAGUAGCUGGGAACACAGGCAUGUACCACCAUCCUGGGCUAAUUUAUUUUUUAAAUUUAUUAUUAUUAGUUUUGGUAGAGAUAGGGUCCCCUAUGUUGUCCAGGCUGGUCUCAAAAUCCUGGGCUCAAGGGAUCUGCCUAUCCAAAGUGAUGGGAUUACAGGCAGGAGCUACAAUGCCUGACCUAGGCCUAUGCUUACUACUGCACCCUGCAGGUCUCAGGCAUUUUCUAUAAAAAGUCAUAUGUAACUGCCCACCUGAAUUCCAGGCGAGCAAAGGCCUCCCCCUUUUGUUUCUUUAGCACUCUGAAGAUUUCUUUCCUGGUACUUGCCACAUUGUACUGAAAUGAUCUAUCUGCAUAUCUGACCUACUCUAUCACACUGUGAGCUUCUCAAGGUCAGCAACAUCAUCACAUUUAUCUCUAAUAUGUAAUUUAGUGCAGGCACAAAGUGUCUAAUAAAAUGUUAGUUUUCUUUCUUUCUUAGGUAUUAUAGAGGAUUUAUUCUUUCCUAGGUAUUAUAGAGGAUUUACACACAAACACAGAUACACAUAGAAGUCUAGUUAUUUUAACUAUACAGUAGUAUCAUUUAUCAGUAAUAUGAUUACAAAACAAUUCCAGAAACAUGUUACCAUCUUUAAAUACAUGGUUAAAAAUAUAAUAGUAGGCUAUAGUCUAAACUAGAUUAAUAAUGUUACUUUCAAGUAAUACUUUCAAUUAACCAUAAUUAGAAUAGAUCUGAUCAAAUAAUAUUAAUUAUUAAAAUUUUUGAGUGGUCCUAAGAAUUUAUAAUAUUACUUGCCCCUGAAUUAACUGUAAAAUAAGAUGAAAAGGAAAUAUAGUGGCUAUAAGCAGUGAAUGUAAGACAAUUACAACUCAAACAAAAACUGUUAGAUAAUGUUAGAAAGAGUAAUACACAAUUAAAUGGGCAGAGAAAGUUUUCUUUCAAGUACACAUUAAAAUUUAAGUUAAAAUACUGAAAUAGGAGUUACAGCUAAAAGAGAAAAAAGAAUGGCAGAAUUGACUAACAAAAGUUAGAAAUACUAUGAAUUUGUAAGGCCCUGUUGUAGAAAGCAAGUUUUACAAAUAGUGGCUUUUGUUACAAAUUCAAAUGCACUUUUACAUUUUUUGACAAAUACGUAUCUAUAUCUAAAUUAUGCCUAUAUAUCCAUAAACUAUCUGUAUACAAGAAGUCUCAAGAAUCAAUGACAUUUUCCUUAACUAUAAAAAAUAAUAUUUUAUCUACAAGAGCUUUAUUUCCUUUUCUUCUAUAAUAAAUUAUGUGUUUAGUCCUGAGACUACCAUAUCUACAGCAAAAUAUUAUUAUAUUACCUACCAUGUUUUUCAUCACUGUUGGUGACUUCAGUCUUUGAGGUGCAAGUCUUAUAUUUAUUUCCUUAUGAAGAAAGAAUAGGAUUUAUCAAACAAGUUGAUCGUUAGAAAAUAUUUCUGGUAUUUCUGAAUGUAACAAUAUAUAAAUAUUGAAAGUUUCCAAUGUCCCUGGCCAUUAGGUUGAACUAGUGUGUACUGAAUUUUAGGAAUAAACAAUAGCAGUCAAUGAAUAAAUAAAUAUUGUUGUGUUUAUUUCAUCAGGGUAACCAAUGUCAAACUUAUUCUGAAAUGACUGUUUUCUUUUUAUGAGAGGUAAAAUUUUAUCUAGAAGAGCUUUAUUUCCUUUUCUUCUAUAAUAAAUUAUGUGUUUAGUCCUGAGACUACCAUAUCUACAAUAAUUUAAAAUAUUAUUAAAUUACCUACCAUGUUUUUCAUCACUGUUGGUGACUUCAGUCUUUGAGGUGCAAGUCUUAUAUUUAUUUCGCAGCAUAAUAAAAUCGUUCAAAAGGUCUAAAUCAUUCUCUUGUUUUUUACCAUGUUCAAAAAAAGAUGCUUUUUUACUUAUUGAAUAGGAAGAUGAUUUAAUAGAUGGUCCUAUGCAGUCAAGUUCAAAGUGAUCUUCAUUUUCUUUCUUUUGGAUUAUUCUAUUUACUGGUUCUUGGUCAUUUGUUGGUUUUUCCUCUUUUGCUGGUCUUUUAUCAGAGAAACGUUCAUCAGAAAAACAUAGAUCUAGUACUUCUUUUGCCAGAGGUAGACUCUUUUGUGGAAGUGAUAAAUGAUCAUUUGUAGAUUUUUCAUCAAUAAGUGCAAUAGGUGAAGAAUGACUUUUAUGUUCUAAACAUGCUGAAAACAGAAAAUAAAAAAAUACACAAAUAACCUCCACAAGUGUUCUAUUAGGUAUUCAAAUAACUUAGUUGUGGUUUCUUAUUAAUGUAAUUUGAUCUUUAGGAGUACCUUGUUUUCUGCUUUGAAAAUCAAUUUUUGGUCUAAAUGAAAUAAAUUUUUAAAAAGGAUCAAAAUUUAGCACCCUUUUUCUUAUUACAGGAGCUAGUUUACCAAGCAAAGAAAUUCCAGUAAAGCCCUUUUGCUGAUAGGCUUAUGAGUCACAGCCUUUGAGGUAACAGUUACUCUAUGGGUCAAAUACUUACUUAUCAGGCAAGCCACAACAGAAAAAAAUUCUUGCAAUACAUAUAACUGACAGAGGACUGUAUCCAAAAUACACAAAGAACUCUUAAAACUCCAUAUUUCAAAAGGAACCCAAUAAAAAAUUUGGCAAAAGACUUGAACAAUAGUUCACAUAAGAUAUGCAUAUUCCUCAAAAUAGAUGAAUCUUGAAAACAUGCAAAGUGAAAGAAGUGUCACAAAAGGCCACAUUUUGUAGGAUUCCAUUUAUAUAAAAUGUCCAGAAAAGGCAAAUCUACAUAUAGAGAAUAGUGGUUCCAGAGCUGCGUAAAAUGGGGAGUGACACCUAAUAAGUACAGGAUUUCUUUUUGAAGUGGUAAAAGUUUUCUAAAAUGGUUUGUGGUAAUGAUUGCACAACUCUGAGAUGAUACUAAAAGCCAUGGAAUGGUGUAUUUUAAAUGAGUCAAUUGUAUAGUAUGUGAAAUAUAUCUUGACAAAGCUGUUUCAGGAAUACCUCAGAGAUAUUAUGGGUUCAGCUUUUCCUUUGCAUUCACAACUUGGCUGUUUGAUGCAAGAGACCUAGAUUUUCACCUGUGUCGACUCUCAACAUGCCUUUCUUACUUAAUCAUUUCUAGCCUUUGAUUUAAAGUGACAGUUGUGCAACUCUUCCUUUCACUUGAAGACUUAGAGGCCACUGUAGGGUUAUUAAUUGGCCUAAUUUUAGUAUCGUUGUGUCUCAGUAGACAUAGAGUGGCCCAAAGAAAAUGGCCUGAAGACAGGGAGAGAGAUGAGGGAACAGCCGGUAGUGGAGCAGUCAGAACACACACAUUUAUUAGUUCAAUUCACUUUUUCAUAUGGGCAGGAUCUAUGGUACUCCAAAACAAUUACAAAAUUAGAAUCAAGGUAACUGAUCACAGAUAACUAUACCAGAUAUAAUAAUAAGAAAAAAUCUGAAAUAUUGUGAGAAUUACCAAAAUGUGACAGACACAAAGUGAGCACAUAUACUUCAAAUAUCCAUAUAAUGUAUUGAAUUUAUAAAACUACAUGAAGUCUUUAUUGUGAUAUGUAACUAAUUUGAAAUUAAAAUAAAACAGUCAUAUUUUAUAUUUUUGAUAUCAAAUAAGUUAGGAUGGUAAUUCUAGAGUUGGAAAUGCUGUUGGAAAAUGACUGCCAAAGAAUUGCUUGAUGCAAGAUUACCACUAAGCUUCAAUUUGUAAAAAAGACAAUUAUCUGUGAAGCACAAUAAAAUGAAGUACAAAAAUGAAAUGUGCCUGUAUUUUUAAAAAUGAUAUACAAAUGGCCAAUGAACAUGUAAUUAGAUGCCCAAUAUCAUCAGUCAGGAGGGAAACAGAAUUAAAACCACAAAGAAAUACCACAACACACCCAUUAGAAUGAUUAAAACUUAAAACACUGCCAAUACCAGAUGUAGCAAAGAUAUAGAGUAACUGGAUCUUUCACACAUUGCUGGUGAAAAAGUGCAAUGGCAAAAUUACUUUGGGUAGCAAUUUAGUAGUUCCUUACAAAAGUAAACAUAUACAUAAGACUCAGCAAUUCAACUCCUAGAUAUUCACUCAAGAGAAAUGAUAAGGUGUUGGCCUGGCUCAGUGGCUCACACCUGUAAUCCCAGUACUUUGGGUGGCCCAGAUGGGAGGAUCACUUGAGGCCAAGAGAUUGAGACCAGCCUGAUCACCAUAGCGAGAUUAAUCUCUAAUUAACUUUAAAAAAAUAAAAUAAAAACUUACAGAGAGAAAUGAUAACAUUCUCCACAAAAAGGCUUGUAUAAGAAUAUUCAUAACUUUUAUUCACAAUAAGAAAAAACUGGGGAAAAAAUCCAGAGGAAUUGAUAAACAAACUGUGGCAUAGCCAUACAAUGCAAAAUUUCUUAGCAAUAAAAAGAAAUGAACUAGUGAUACACACAACAUCAUGAAUGUAUCUCAGAAAUGUUAUGCUGAGUAGAAGAGGGCAGACACAAAAGAACUUACACUAUUUGAUUCCAUAGGUGAAAUCCUAGGACAGGGGAAACAUAAAGUAUACAGUGAUAUAAAGUAGACCAGUGGUUGUCAAGGACCGGGGGUAGGUUAGUGAGGAGGAGAGGUGGGAUAGAGGGAGAAUGUCUACAAAGGGGCACAAAGAAAUGUUUUUAUGAUAGAAAUACUCUGUAUCUUAAUUGUAGUGGUAGUUUCACAGGCAGAUAUGCUUAUCAAAAUUCAUCAAACUGUACAGUUAAAAUAGGUGCAGUCUUCCUGGACUGGCAACAUUUGUGUAUAUUGUGAUACAUCAAUGGCAAAAGAGUUAUGUAUCCUGGGGACAAUGAAAUCUUCACAUUUGGAGCCCUCCUAGGGUCCAUCAAAAGCAUCUUUUUCUUUGGCUAAUAUGUGUCCUUUCCCUUAGUAAACCAUAUGUGUGAGUACAAUACAAACAAAACAGGUAUAGUUUUAUUUUAUGUAAAUUAUACCUCAUAAAAUUGAUUUGGGAAAAAAAUGCCUAUAGGGCCAACUAAAUAAUGUAAAUUAGUAAAAUGUAUGGCUACUGCUUAAAUCACAAUCUUUGUUUGUAUAGAUGAACUUUGUAUUAUUUUCUUCCAAAAUGUAGUUUAUAAUUUUAAUUUUGUUUUUGCUUUUGCUUUUAUUAGAGAUAUUGGUAUAAGAAACAUUUUACUUUCCUCUUAUACCUAAAUGUAAGACAAAAGUGUCAAAUGUCAACUAGCAACAGGCUUUGAUUUGUAAGUCCUGGAAACUGUGGUGGGCUGGAGAGUGCAUGGUCUGUUUAAAGUGGUAAGCUGCUAAUGGCUCCAGCCAAUUGUUGUCAUAUCAGACUCUGAGUCCAGUUUUUGAAAUUUUAAAGAUAAACUCAAAAUACAUAUUAUAUAUGUAAAAUCUCCCAAAUUUUAAAUGUUGGUAAUUGGCCAGGCACGAUGGCUCACGCCUGUAAUCCCAGCACUUCAGGAGGCCAAGGUGGGUGGAUCACCUGAGGUCAGGAGUUCAAGACCAGCCUGGCCAACAUGGUGAAAUCUCAUCUCUACUAAAAAUACAAAAAUUAGUUAGGCACGGUAGUGCAUACCUGUAGUCCCAGCUACUCAUGAAGCUGAGACAGGAGAAUUGCUUGAACCCAGGAGGCGGAGGUUGCAGUGAGCCACGAUAGUGCCAGCCUGGGUGACAGAGAAAGACUCUGUCUCAAAAAAAAAGUUGUUAACUAAUUAAAAUACCAUAUGAGUCAAUAAUAUGUGGGCUGAAUAGGAUCCAAGUGCCACUUUUCAGAUAUUCUCUAGUGGUAAUCUAGUAUGUCUAGCCGGUGAAUAGAAACUGUUUAUUAUUUCAGUUUUUUCAUUAUUUCCCUUUAUUAUUAUUGACCAUUUGGCAUGGAUUCCAGAUAUAGUUAUUGCUUUUUAAACUUCAGAAUUAUAUUGCUAUACAUUUAACUAUACUGUUAAACAUUCAUUUUUUUACAAAUUGAAGUUCUGUGGCAAUCUUGCAUCAAGUCUAUUGCGGCCAUUUUCCAACAGCAUUUUUAACUUCAGAAUUAUCAUAACUUAUUGGAUAUCAAGAAUAUCAAAUAUGAAUGAUAUGUUUUAUUCUAAUCUCAAAUUAGUUACAUAUUACAGUAAAGAUUUCACAUAGUUUUAUAUAUUUAAUACAUUAUAUGGAUAUUUGAAGACCUCAUAAAAUCUUCUCCCUUUUCUUUUGUCUACUAACCUGACAUAAUCUUAUUUAGCAUUCUUAUUCCACCAUGGGUACCAUUUAGGCCUGAGAUGGACUGGUGUGCAUUUGCUUGAUAUAGUCUAUUUAUCUGUUCUCUUUCCUAGCUAUCCAAACAUCUCUGUCUUCUGUCUUUUUAAAAAAUUUAUUUUACAUUACUUCUUGUUCUUUUUAUAAGGAAUAUUUCAAGAAGUAAGAAAGCAGAUUUUCCUAGGUUACCUUUGAAUCUGAAUUUGUGUUACCACUUUCGUUACAUUACUAGUAAGCCACAGGAGUACACUAUAGAAAUGAGUGGAAUCAGAGACAGGGAUAUAAUGACAGUUAAUUGUCUAUCAUGUAUUUAUCCCAAGGAGCACUUAUACAUCUGUUAUAUAUUUUGGUAUUUGCUACUUGUAGGUUUUUUGUGAUUAAAAAUAUAAUUUGAACUUUUAUUUUAGAUUUAGGACUACAUAGGAAGGUUUGUUACCUGGGUAUAUAGGGUGAUGCUGAGGUUUGGGCUAUGACUGAUCCCAUCACCUAGGUACUGAACAUAGCACUCAAUAGUUUUUCAACCCUUUCCCCCACUUCCCUCCUCUAGUAGCCCCCAGUUUCUAUUGUUACCAUCUUUAUGUCUAUGGGUACCCAAUGUUUAGCUCCCUCUACAACAUGCAGUAUUUGGUUUUUCCAUUCCUGCAUUAAUUCACUUAAGAUCAUGGCCUCCAGCCACAUCCAUGUCACUCCAAAGGACAUGAUUUCAUUCUUUUUUAUGACUCUGUACUAUUCCAUGGUGUGUAUGUACCACAUUUUUUUAAUCCAAUCCAGCGUUAAUGGGCACCUAGGUUGAUUUCAUGUCUUUGCUAUUGUGAAUAGUACUGUGAUGAACAUAUAGGUGCAUAUAUGAGGUGAAAGACCUCUACAAGGAGAACUACAAAACACUGCUGAGAGAAAUCACAGAUGACACAAAUAAAUGGAAAAACAUUGCAUGCUUAUGGAUUGGAAUAAUCAAUAUAGUUAAAAUGGCUAUACUGCUCAAAGCAAUAUGCAGAUUCAACACUAUUCCUAUUAAACUACCAACAUGAUUUUCCACAGACCUAGGAAAAACUAUUUUAAAGUUCAUAUGGAACCAAAAAAAAAACCUGAGUAGCCAAAACAAUCCUAAGCAAAAAGAACAAAGCCAGAGGCAUCACAUCACCUGAUUCCAACUAUACUAUAGGGCUACGGUAACCAAAAUGGCAAGGUACUGAUACAAAAAUAGACACAGGACUAAUGGGACAGAAUAGAGAACCUAGAAAUAAAGUCACACACCUACAGCCAUCAGAUCUUGAACAAAGUCGACAAAAAUAAGCAAAGGAAAAAGAACUCCCUAUUCAAUAAAUGGUGCUGGGAUAGCUGGCUAUACAGAAUAAUAAAACUGGAUCCCUACCUUUCACCAUAUAUAAAAAUUAACUCAAGAAGGAGUAAAAAUUUAAAUGUGAGAACUUAAACUAUAAGAAUUCUAGAGGAAACACCCUUCUGGACAUCAGCCUUGGGAAAGAAUUUAUGACUAAGUCUUCAAAAGCAAUUGCAACAAAAACAAAAAUUGCCAGGUGGGAUCUAAGUAAACUAAAGAGCUUCUGCACAGCAAAAGAAACUAUCAACAGAGUAAACAGACAACCUACAGAAUGGGAGAGAUUAAUCACAAACUAUGCAUCUGACUAAGAUCUAAUAUCCAGAAUCUACAAGGAAUUUAAACAAUUGAACAAGCCAAAAAUAACCCCAUUAAAAAAUGGGCAAAAGACAUGAACAGACAGUUAUCAAAAGAAGACUUACAAGCGGCCAACACACAUGAAAAAAGUGCUCAAUGUCACUAAUUAUCAGAGAAAUGCAAAUCAAAACCACAAUGAGUUACCAUUUCAUACCAUUCAGAAUGGCUACUAUUAAAAAUUCAAAAAACAAUAGAUGCAGUAAGGCUGUGGAGAAAAGAGAACACUUAUACACUAGUGGUGGGGGAUGUAAAUUAGUUCAGCCACUGUGGAAACAGUUUGGAGAUUUAUCAAAGAACUUAAAACAGAACUAUGUUCUAUCCAGCAAUCCUAUUACUGUGUAUAUGUUUAAAAAAUAUAUUGUUCUGUCUUCUGUCUUUGAAACAUGCCUUGCUGAUAACAUUUCUUAUUCAGAUUCCUUAACUCCUUAGACCAAUCUCCCAACAUAGACAAUAAUUUCUAAAAUUUAUUUUUAAAUAUGUUCAUUAUUCUAUAAUAAACUAUAAACACUCCGAAAUCUGGCUGGGCACAGUAGCUCAUGCCUGUAAUCCCAGCAUUUUGGGAGGCCUAGGCAAGCAGAUCACUUGAGGUCAGGAGUUCGAGACCAGCCUGGCCAACUUGGUGAAACCCCGUCUCUACUAAAAAUACAAAAAUUAGCUGGGUGCAGUGGUGGACACUUGUAAUUCCAGCUACUCGAGAGGCUGAGGCAAGAGAAUCACUUGAACCUGGGAGGCAGAGUUUGCAGUGAGACUCAUGCCACUGUGCUCCAGCCUGGGCAACAGAGUGAGACUGUGUCUCAGAAAACACACACACACACACACACACACACACACAUGCUAAAUACAUUUAAUUUACUAUUAAUAUAAUACCAUAUAUAGCAACCAAAAUGGCUCAAGACAUAAAUACUCAAAAGUCAUUUUUGCCUUUUUAAGUUGUACAGUAAAAAAUGAAUUAGUAAAUUUUAAGUAACAAAGGAAGAUUCUCUAUUGUUGAAGAGAGACAUUACUGAAUGCCAAUGUUCAGCUGUUAGGUCAAAAAACAAUUACAGCAAAAUGCUGACCUGUGUCUAGGCUGAGUGAACAGAAAUUGCUAGUAAUUUAAUCGUUUAUAAAAGGAAACAAAAUCACUUUAAAUGAGAAUUGCUAGAAAUUUAAAAACUGAGACUAUAGAAUUUUAGGACAUAAUGAGAUUGUAGGAUUAACUAGUCAAACUUCAUCAUUUUUAUUUUUCAAGAAAAUGGGACCUAGAGAAAUCCAAAGUCAUAAAUUCUGGCAGAGCCAGGGCCUAUAUGGAAUGCAAAAACCUAAUGAUUUUCCUAAUUACCUAGAGGAAAUCCAGAAUCUAAUAUUUUCACAUUCUGAAAAUGUUUACAUGACUAACAUUUACUAUUAUGUACUUACCUUCCAAUUGAAAUACUUUUGAAGGCAAAAAUAGCUCCAUUUUAUUGUCAUUAGAAGAUAGAUCAUCAAGACAUAAAUCCGUAUUCAGAUGUUCCAAAGUUUGCAUCAUUUUCAGAUUUAGUCCUGCUUGUUUCCACCACUCUGUGUUUACGGGAUUAAUAAUAAGGCUUUCUUCUUUAACAGAUAAUAUCUUUUUCAAAUCGGUAACUGAAUAUUGGCUGUAGGGCUCUUGAAUUCUUGGUACUUACAAAAAAAUAGAAACAAUUAGUUAGACACAGUCUACAAAGCAAAAGAAACAAAACACAAUAAAAAGAACCACACUGGAAUUUCUUUAUGAAAUGCAUUUUCAUGCAUUAGGAAAAAAGUAAAACUUAAAGUUAUAUCUGGUAUUUUUGUUUUCAAGAUGCUAAUAUUUGUAAAAGUUCAAGCUAUUAUAACAGUAGAAGUCACAUAAAGGAUUUAUUCCACUGUGAAAAUAUCGAGAAGUUAAAAUUAUUCUAAUAUUUGAUAUGAGAAGGAACUCUUAUUUUGUUUGACCAUUUUCAAUUACUAAAUUAAUACAUUUGAUUAACAUUUUGAAGUAAUAUAAGCUUUAUUAAAUUCUAACUCAUUAUAAUAAGCCUAAACAAGAAGAUAUAUUUUUUCAGCUUUUAUGAUGACUAUAUUAUCUAAGAUAUUGUGGUACAGAGCUUACUGCCUCAUUACUUUUUAGCCUAAAUAGGGAGAAAUCAUAACAUAGGGAGGAACUGAAGUAGCAUAACUACCUAAUAUUAUUUAUCUGUAUUAUAAGCAUCAACCUGAAAAUAGGAUUAUAAAUUUUGAAACCCUAAUUUUGGAAUGGUGUUUUCUAAUGACAGGAAUAUUAAGAAGAAAUCAAAACUUAAAAUAAAAAUACUAAUAUUAAUAACAGUAAUUACAAGUUACUAAAAAACAUCUGGCACUAUGCUAAGUGCUUUCUUUAUAUAGAUUAUUCUUUUUUUUUUGAGAUGGAGUUUCACUCGUUUCCCAGGUUGGAGUGCAGUGGCGUGAGCUCAGCUCAUGGCAACCUCUGCCUGCCUGAUUCAAGUAUUUCUCCUACCUCAGCCUCCUGAGUAGCUGGGAUUACAGGUGCCCACCACCUUGCCCAGCUAAUUUUUUGCAUUUUUAGUAGAGAUGGGGUUUCACCAAGUUGAGUAGGCUGGUCUCCAACUCCUGACCUGAGGCAAUCCACAUUCCUCCAUGUCCCAAAGUGCUGGGAUUACAGGCGUGAGCUACUAUGCCUGGCCUAUAUGCAUUAUUCUUAAUUAAUCCCUAAAUAAUUCUGUAAGAUAGAUAUAAUUUUAACUAGCUUUAUUAAAGUAUAACUGACAUGCAAUAAACUACACAUAGAGUGAAAAGUUUGAUAAGUUUUGACAUAUUUAUACAUUCGUGAAUCCAUUACUACAGUCAAGGUAAUGAAUAUAUCCAUUCCCUUCAAAGUUUGCUCCUGCCUCUUUAUACCUCUCUUCUAAUCUUCCUCAUCCCCCAGUCCCACUGUUCUGCUUCCUGACACUAUAAACUGCAUUUUCUAGAAUUUUAUAUAAAUGGAAUUAUACCAUAUGAAUGCUUUUUUUGUGGUUUCUUUCAUUCUGCAUAAUUAUUUUGAAAUCAUCUAUUUUGUAUGUAUCAACAGUCCAUUUCUUUUAUUCAGAUAGAAAAUAAUUGUAGAUUCACAUGUAGUGGUAAGAAAUAAUAUAAGAUGUCUUGUUCCCUCCUUUUUUUGUUUUCAAAGUAUAUUAUACUAUGUAAUUGAUAAUUCAAAUAUAUAAUCUGAUUUUGAUGUCUAAUGUUUCUGCUUUAUCUCACUGGUGAUCCCGAUAUAUAUUGUGAUUUUUGUCUAUUAGCAUGUGUUUCUUUCAAUUUUGUGGAAGGUCUUUGAAGCCUGUGUUGAAGUAUAUUCCUCAGGAAAAAAUUUCCUCUAGAAAGGAUUUAUCUUUGUUUAUGUGUUUGGGAGGCCUGUCUGCCUGGGACCACUUUAAAUUAAAUCACCACUAUUUUUUCAAAUUAUAUAGGUGGUUUGAAUUCAGACUGCAACCAGGCAUGAUGGCUGCCUUCUGGUUAGAAGUACUUAAGGGAAAGUUUUUUUCUUUUCUUUUCUUCCAGCUCCAAGGUAGAAAUAGGCAAAUUUAUUUGGAGUUCCCUUCUAUAUGGUGGUUUAUUUUUGUAUGCUCUUAUUUUAAUGGUAGUUUCUUGAACUCCAAGUUUUAUGUAGGGUUUCCCUAUUAGAUUCAACAUGAAGGAUAUUUCUUGACUCUACACUACAUACAGACUUCAAAACAGAAGUUCAAAGUCUCCUAGGUUUAAUAGAGAGCCUGGAGGGAGAGCCAGCUUUGGUGCUUACUUGCUCCCCAGGAUUCCUGUUUUCACUUUGUUUUCGGCCUCCAAAUGCAACUCAGUGAUUCAUUUAAAAAAUUUUUAAAAGAAUACCUUAUCCAAAAUUCCAUUCACAUAAUGGAUAGUUCAGACACAGACAAGAGUUUAAUUUACUCAAGUAAAUUUUGAAUGUACAUGUGAAAUGUAUAUUCACUUCAAAAUUAUUUUGUUAAACUAUAAACAAGUUUUGCUAAAAUGCUUUUAUUGAUUUAUUUUUGAGAUGGAGUCUCGCUGUGUUGCUCAGGCUGGAGUGCAGUGAUGAUCUCAACUCCUGCAACUUCCACCUCCCUGGUUCAAGCGAUUCUCCUGUCUCAGCCUACAGAGUAGCUGGGACUACAGGCGCAUACCACCACACCCAGAUAAUUUGGUAUUUUUAGUAUAGAGGGGUUUCAAUAUAUUGGCCAGGCUGGUCUCAAACUCUUGGCCUCAAUUGAUCCACCCAUGUCAGCCUCCCAAAGUGCUGGGAUUACAGGCGCGAGCCACAGUGCCCGGCCGUUUGUUUGUUUUUCUGUGUGUGUGUGUUUUUUUUUUGUUGUUGUUGUUUGGUUGGUUGGUUUCUUUUUCUUUUUGAGACGGAGACUCGCUACGUUCCCAGGCUGGAUUGCAAUGGCGCGAUCUCGGCUGACUGAAAUCUCCGCUUCCCAGGUUCAAGAGAUUCUCUUGCCUCAGCCUCUCAAGUAGCUGGGACUACAGGCACGCCCCGCCAUGCCCGGGUAAUUUCCAGCCGUUGUUAAAACGUUUUAAGUGUCCUUUUUGGAAAGCUUGGGAAAUGAAACAUUUUAACUUUGGAUGUGAUUUUUUUUAAACAAACAACUCACAACCUUGGAAAUAGAAAUUACGUAUAUGGGACUGUUUUGUGUACUACUUGUAUUUCAUUUCUUUUCUUUUCCUUCUCCCAUGUGUAGGAAUUAUCCAGAAAAUCAGCAGGAUCCAGAUCUUGUCAUAUACUUCUGUACCUAGCAUAAUGAACCUUAUAGAAGGUAUCUUGAUAUUUUACCUUUAGGCUAAGUUACAUAUUCUGUGUUAAGAAAUGGCCAAAGAAAAAGGAUGCCCCACAUUUCUACUGGUUGUAUAGGUACCUUUUAACCUAUACUUUCUAUUUAUCAUUUAAAAGCAAUUAAUCUUUACCUGUAAGCAAAAAUGAGUUCAAAGGGCUUCUACAGCUUUCUAAUUGCCACAUCAUGUAGUAUUUAUUAGCUGAUUCUUCAGCAGUAAGCAAGUUACUGAAAAAAGGAGUUAAAGUUUAACACAUUAAUAAUAUUGAGUCUUUGGUAUAAUAAAAUUUUGUUUUUAAAAAGUAUUUUUAAAGUACUUUUUACACUCAAAAUCAAGUGAAAAAUUAACUUUAUAAAUGUGUAAACUGCAGUAGAGUUCCAUAGACCAAAUGUCAAAUACAGUACUCAUUUUCUCCAUCCCUGGGAAGGUUUGGCAAUUUGUAAACUCAAUUGUUCCUAAUUGACUAUAAAUUACUCCCACCUUUACCUCCCUCAGUGGCACCUGGAGCCAGAGAGGGCUGACACAGGAGGGUUUUAGCACUUCCCUGCAUAAACUAUGCUAGCACCAAUUUUCUACACCACCCAAAAUAAAAAUACAAUCUAAGUAAAAUUAUCAUGCUUACCAUGAAAAUAGCAACUUCAUUUAUUAAACAGGGAAUCUGAACCUGGAAACCAUCAUUCUCAGCAAACUGACCCAAGAACAGAAAGUCAAACACCAAAUGUUCUCACUCAUAGGCCAGUGUGACAAUGAGAACACAUGCACACAGGGAGGGGAGAAUUACACACUGGGGUCUGUGGCGGGGGUAAAGAGGGGAGGGACUUCAGGGGGUGGGGAGUUGGGGAGGGAUAACAUGGGGAGAAAUGCCAGAUAUAGGUGAUGGGGAGGAAGGCAGCAAACCACAGUGCCACGUGUGUACCUAUGCAACAAUCUUACAUGUUCUUCAUAUGUACCCCAAACCUAAAAUGCAAUAAAAAAAUUCUAAAUAAAAGAUUGAAAGAAAAAAAAAAGAAAAUAGCAACUUCAACAAAAAUUUUUACAUAAUUGCUGUCCCAAGUCCCUUCCAUAUAUAUAGAAAUUCUGGAUCCUCUACUGGCUGAGGAUCAGUACUAUGAAAAAGUCCUUCUCUGGAGAUGGCAGAGUCCUAAAGUUUAGUUCAAGACCUUCAGUCUUGGUGGGUUUGUGAGUAUGUGAUGUGUGUUUGUUUGUGUUUAGGGGUACUGGGGGCAGAAGGGAGGAAAUACGCAUAACAGUUAGUGUAAAUUACAGCUUAUCUGUAGCUAUGAAGCUACUAGCCUUGGUAGGGGAAAGAUUAUUAAUUCAUAAACCCCUUAAUCUGUGCCCUAAACCUCCUGCUAGCCUGAGUGAGAAUUGAUUGUAUUCGGUUUCUUUGUUCAUAUGGAACAUAUAAGAGCAUGCUCAUAAUUAAUAAGUACUGCCAGUUAAAUUGACAGUCUAGGGCAGUGGAAAGCUAGGUUUUAUGUCUAAGGCAUUCAGUUUACCUGCAUAAUCCAAAAAUCUGGUCAUGCUGUAGAAAAUUUGAGAAUCUAGGCAAUUCUUGAAUCUUACCAAGGGUUCUUUGACAACACCUCAGAUUGUCAGCAACUAUUUUAAAGUGAAAGGAAGGGGUAAUACUUAGCAAGCCAUGUCCAAUAUAGACAUAUUUCACUCUUAAUGAUGCUUUCUGAAGACAUGUCUGAAUUUGAUACAUCGUUUGUUCAUAAAAAUAUAUUCACAAGUCGGCAGUUAGUUAGUAGGUUAAUAAAAUCUCAUGCCAUACAGACUUUUCUUUUUUAGCACACAAAACCUAGCAUAGAAUCUCACAUGUGGUAGGCACUAAAAAUAUUGUUAACUGGGUAUUAUUUUCAGCCAAAGUGUUGUGUUCUGAAAUAAAAAUAAUUGAUACCUUGAAAAUAAGUUAAAGCUAUAAUAACAUUCCUUAUUAUUUUCCCUUCCUUUAAAAAAAAUCUUAACACUUUUUCUCCUUGUUUUUAGUCUUGCAGUUGAGAUAUACAGUAGUUCCCCCUUAUCCAUGAUUUCCCUAUACUCAAUUUCAGUUAUCUGUGGUAAACCACAUCCCCAAAUAUUAAAUAGAAUAUUCCAUAAACAAUUCAUAAGUUUUAAAUUGCACUAUUGUGAGCAGUGUGAUGAAAUUUCAUGCCACCCUACACCAUCUCACCCAGAAUGUGAAUCAUCCCUUCACCCAGCAUAUCCACACUAUAUAUACUCACUACCUGCCCAUUUGUCACUUAGUAGCAUUCUCAGUUAUCAGAUCGGCUGUUGCUUAUGUUCAAGUAACCCUUACUGAAUUUAAUAAUGACUCCAAAGCACAAGUGUAAUGAUACUUGUAUUUAUUAUGGUCGUUCUAUUUUAUUAUUAGUUAUUAAUGUUAAUGUCUUACUAUGUCUAAUUUAUAAAUUAAAUUUUAUCAUAGCCAUGUAUAUAUGAGAAAAAACAGCACAUAUAGGGUUUGAUAACAUCUGCAGUUUCAGACAUCCAUUUAGGGUCUUGGAAAUUAUUCCCCCUGGAUAAGGGGGGAACUACUGUCAACUCAUUUUAAAAUACAGAUUUUUAAGCUUUUACAGUCACCAAACCAAUGAAAGUGAUUUAUCUCUUGCUCAUAAAUGGAGUAGUAAGGGAACAACUUCUUUCAGUUGUUUCAAAUAACUCUAAAACCAUUAGCAAUUUGAAAGACUUUUUUGUUCUAACUUUGCCAAAUCAUUAGUUAAGAUUUGUUUCAUAAAUUCUUAUGAGACAUUUUAGUUGUAACAAUAGACAUAUAACAUGUGAUUAAAAAGAGCUUAUUAGGGUUUAUAUAGUUUUAAUAUCAGAUUGAAAUUAAAGAUUACAGUAAUUUCUGCUAGUGUCUGUUUCUAAAUAUGCCAAUCUGCCAUAACAGAUGGAUUAUGGUAUAUGGAGUAAAAAAAAGAGUAAAAGGGCACUAAUAAAGACCGCACAUGUCCUGCAAAUAAACAUCUCGCACCUUAGCAAGGGAACUAAAAGUAUUUAAACAAAUUAUAUGCAGUUUCCAUACUUGUCCUGUGCAAUUUGUAGGGCUCAUAUCUAAUAUGGACAAGUCUUAGUUCACGUAUAGCACACUCUGUAUAACACAAAUUUGCUCCAGAAAUGUAAAUAGUUCUUAGCUAGAAGAUAAAGACAUAUUUAGGGCCCUCAGUCUCAUGCUUUGGCACUUUCCUGAGACCAUUAAUAGAAGCCUAAGCAGCCAGUGAUAAAUUAUAGAGCCUUGACUUCAGUUGCUCCCAGUAAUCCAAAUAGCACUCUCCUCUGGCAGAUGAGCUAAUCAUAACAAGAACUCAAAACCUAAUACACAGCUCCCACAGUUUCCAGUCCUGGAAUAAUUCAUUAGAGACUUGUAGACUUUACUGUCGUUUUCCUGAAAAUAUAUUAUUUUAGGACACAUUAAGUUCUAAGUUUGUAGUAGACUGAUUGUACUGAUUAUGUUCCCAAUUUUGUAACUGGCAUAAGAAGCAGAGGAAUGGAGUGGCUUUAUUCUAGGAUAGCAGACCAAUCAAUCUCAGAGAACAUUAAGUUACAUGUGUGCUACACGGUUUAAGAUAGCAACAAAAACUAUCUCAGACUUUGUCAAAGGGCAAGAUGCUGGGCGACUUAAGUUUGGCAAUUUUGGCUCAAACUAGAAUAUAAUGACAUAGCCUUGCAAUAUCAAUUCUACAAUUUCAGACUAUUCUGUGCAACAAUGAUGGUGUAUUGAACAAGUUUAUGAAUCAACCUUGGUUCUGCAUGUCUGGUUCACCCAAUACUGAGACCACAUUGACAGAGGUGUACAAGGUCAGUGAAUGUCUUCUGUUAGAGACAGGACAUGACCCUUGGUACUCUUAGUGGGAAUAUAUUGAUCAACAUUGUCCACACUGCUCUGUGAUCUUUGGCUAUUUCUGGCCACAGACCUAUGACAAAUCUUUCAGUAGACCUCUUAAAAACCUUAUGAGGUAGAUACUAUUAUUAUCCCAGUAUUGUAGAUUAAAAAAAAUGGAGGCACAGAACAAUUAAGAUUGCAGUUAGAAAGUGAUAGAGACAGGCAAUCUGGCUGUAGUUCAGAGCUUCUACCCACUUAUUAUGGGCUGAAUUGUGCCCCCACAAAAUUCUUAUGUUGAAGUCGUAAUCCUCAGUACCUCAGAAUGUGACUGUAUUUGAGGAAAGGGUCUUUAAAGAGGUAAUUAAGUUAAAUAGGGCCACUAAUAAAACAUGACUGGUAUUCUUAUAAGAAGAGGAGACUGGGGUAUAAACAAUGAUGGAGGAAAGAAUGUAUGAAGACAAAGGGAGAAGAUGGACAUGUAUAAUAAAUCAAGGAGGGAGGCCUUAGAAUGAAUUCAACCCAGGUGACACUUUGUUCUUUCACUUCUUGCCUCCAGAACUGUGAGGAAAUAAAUUUCUGUAGUUUAAGUCACUUAAUCUGUGGUAUUUGUUAUGGCAGCCCUAGCAAUCUAAUAUACUACUACAUUGCCUAAUUUAUAAAAUAAACUUUAUCAUAGGUAUCCAUAUAUGAGAAGAAAACAGUAUAUAUAGGUUGUGAUAAAAUCCACAGUUUCAGGCAUCCAUUUAGGGUCUUGGAACUUAUUCUCCCUGGAUAAGGGGGGACUAGUAAACUUGGUCUUUAAACCGAGUGACUGCCAGUAGAAACAGUGCCAUUAGCAAGUAUCCAGUGGCAAUGUCCUAAGCAUACUACUCCAAUGUCAGGAUCUUAAAAAUUUUUUAAUUUAUUUAUUUUUAAUGAUAAUAUAUUCACAUUAAAAAUACUGAAAUGUGUAAAAGGCCAUAUUGUGAAAAAUUUCCUACCCACAUUGCUAGGUUACCUAGUUCCUUUCUGAAUACAACCAAUAUUUCUUGUUUCUUGUGUGCCCUUCUAAAGAUACUCUUUGCAUAUAAAACCAAAGAUAUUCAUAUAUUUAUAUAUUCCUUCUAGUUACUUAUUAUAGACACUAUACCAGCUCUUAAAUUUUUUCAGAGAGGUAUCUUGGAAAUUGCUCUUAUAUGGAGAGAUUUAAAUAAAGACUGCUUGUUCUGAAUUGCAACUUGGGUUCUAGAUAUAAUACUUACAUUUUGCAAACCGGAGAUAAUGGAAAUGUCUGAAGUUCUGCACAUAAUGAAUUCACUGAAGAAUGCUGCCAUGAUAGGUCUAGAGGAGUUAGUGGCAAUUCUAACUCUCCUGGAAUAUAUGAAAAUGGAAGUUAUGUAAACAUUGAAUAAUAUUAAGUAGGCCAGGCACGGUGGCUCACACCUGUAAUUCUAACACUUUGGGAGGCUGAGGUGGGAGGAUCACUUGAGUCCAGGAGUUUAAGACCUGGGCAACAUGGCAAGAUCCAGUCUCUACAAAAAGUACAAAAUUAGAAAGGAGUGGUGGCACAUGCUUGUAGUCCUAGCUACCUGGGAAGCUGAGCUGGAAGGAUUGCUUGAGCCCAGGAAUUUGAGGUUGCAGUGAGCUGUGAUUAUGCCAUUGUACUCUAGCCUGGGCAACAGAGCAAGACUUUGUCUCUAAAAAAAAAAUAAAUAAAUAAAAAUUAAGUAUAAUUUAGAACUUUUUGUAAGCAACUAUUAUGUUUGAUAAUUCUGUUACAACAAAAAUAUUUCAAUAAAAAGAAAUUUGAGUUGAGAUACAAAAUAAAUGUCCAUCUAUAUAAGGAAUUACAUAUAUAUCACAUUCUCAACUACAAUUGUGGUGAUUUUUAAAAAAUACCUUGAUAGUUAAACUUGACUGAGUUUACUCUGUUUCAGAUAAAUUCUGAGAGCUUUAUAUAUUAAGGCUUUUGAUUCUGACAGCUUGUGUUGUCAGUACUUAGGUGAUAGAAUUAUUUUUAUUUCCAAAGAAAGAAAAAAAUAAUUAUUUGUAUUUUCAUACUAUUCGUGAUGUUAAACAAACUGUAUUAUAAAGAGUAAUUAUUCAUCUUAAUGACUCUGAACUCUAGAUGGCCUAGCACAGAAUUAUAUAUUUAUAUGGUAGACUUGAAAAACUAAUUUUCAUGUAUUGAUAACUAGUGGGCGUGUUUUCAUUACUUUCAUGAAUAAAGCAGUAGACUUUCAAAUAGAUAAUUCAGAUGAUCCAAUUAUAAAUGUAAUUAAGUAAGAGUGCCAUUAACAUAGUUAAGAAGCAACACAAUUUGGCAUUGUACUGGAACAAAAGAUGAUUCUGAGAUUCCAAAUUUGGUAGAAUAAUGAUAUUAAAAAUAAUGAUGACACAGAGAAUAAGAUUGCUUUGAGAGAUUAAAAAUUCAAAAAUUUUAAAAAUGUCACAGUGAUCAGCAAGAUUGCUAAUAUUGAGAUAAAAUAUGAAAUUUUAUUUACUGAGCUAUACUAUUUUAGGGUUUCUAUUUUUAAUAUUAACACUGUUUCCUCCAUUCCUCUUCCACAAUCUUCGUAACUCCCAUUUAUGUAUUAUUCAGUUUGUUUGUUUGUUUGUUUUGAGACAGAGUCUAGCUCUGUCACCCAGGCUGGAGGGCAGUGGUGCAAUCUCAGCUCACUGCAACCUUCACCUCGCCAGUUUAAGCCAUUCUCAUGCCUCAGCCUCCUGAGUAUCUGGGAUUACAGGCAUGUGCCACCACACCAGCCUCGCUAAUUUUUGUAAUUUUAGUAAACAUGUGGUUUUGCUAUACGGGCUGGUCUCGAACUCCUCAUCUCAAGUGAUCUGCCCACCUCAGCCUCCCAAAGUGCUGAGAUUAUAGGUGUGAGCCACCAUGCCCAGCCUAUUAUUCAGUUUUGAUUCCAGUAGGAUUCUGAGUUAAUGAUAGUAAUAAAGGGGCAAAUAAGAAAAAAUGACAUAGGAUUAAAACAAUCAAAUUUUAAGCAUGGAAACUGACUCACGGUACACUGUAUAUGCAAAUGUACUGUACUUUUACAACAUAAAUAGGUAAUCCCCGAGAAGCUCAAUGAUUUAUCAAAAUUUCUACCUGGUUUACUGCACUUUUCUGGUUCACUCUGGCUUUGAAUGGCCAAAAUUUCUGCGGAGCUGAAUUUUAUAUCCCCGAUAUCCUCAAUUCCGUGCUUGUUAGUAAGAUCUAAAAAGGAAGAAACUCUACUAUUAGCAAGUGUACAAUUAAAUUAAAUUUUUUGUAACUUUGUUUGGUGGCAUUUUCCUUUUAAAGUAUCUUUAUUGUUUUAUUUCAUGUCAAUUUUUCAUUUUAGAGAGAAGCAGAUUUAUACUUCUGAAGAAAAUGCUAACUUAGGAAACUGAGUGGAAGCAUUCUACUAAAAGGAGGGAAUAAACUGACUAAACUGGCAGCUAUAACAUUGAAGAAACAAGACGCCCAGUACAAGAAAGAAGUGAACAGAAUCAUCAGGGAUGGUGGUGAUAAUGACUUGUUCUAAAACUAAAAUUCCCAAAGAUAAAACUAUUGGUAAAAUUGAUGCUUGAAUGUGUUAAGAGGAGAUUUAGACAAACGGGAGAGUUUUAAGAUCAAGUUCUAUGUACUAAAUACAUAAAAACUAAACAAAACAAAAAAAAACAGGAAACAAGCGUUAACUUUUGUACAGUAAUCUCCUUUUAUCUGAGAUUUCAGUUCCCCACAGUCAACUGCAGUCCAAAAAUAUUAUAUUGAAUGGAAAAUUCCAGAAAUAAACAAUUCAUGUCUUAAAUUGCACAGUGUUCUGAGUGGCAUGAUGAAAUCUAGUGCUAUCCUGCUCUGUCCCACCCAAAUGUAAAUGAUCCACUGUUUCCACACUGAUAUGCCACCUAUUCAUUUGUCACUUAAUAGCUGUCUCAAUUCUCAGAACGAUUGUCCUUGUAUUGCAGUGCUUGUGUUCAAAUAACCCUUGUUUUACUUAAUGCUCCAAUUUUAUUGUUAGCUAUUUAUUGCUAUUCAUCUCUUACUGUGCUUAAUUUACAAAUUGAAAUUUAUCAUUGGUAUAUAUGUUUAAGAAAAAACAUUAUAUAUACUGUAUAGGGUUUAGUACUAUUGGUGAUUUCAAGCAUUCAGUGGGCGUCUUGCAAUGUAUCCCCUGUGGGAUACAUUUAUUGUACAAGAAAGACAUCAAUGAACAACACAAUACUAUUAUCAGCAAUAAAUAGUAUUUAUGCACUCACAAUUCUGUAAAUACAGAAUACUGAUCUAACCAAAGUUAUAACUACAUUGGGAGAGUAGACUAUAGGAUGUGUGGGGUUAAGUAGUAGUAAGGGUAUAAAAGAGUGAGGACAACUCCAUCUUUAUUCUCAUAGUGAGAGAUCAAUAUAUAAGGUCUAAAACUAAAAACAUCAGGAAAUAGCAGUAUAAGUAUACCAUACAGAUAAAUAAAUGGCAAAAGAAAUAUAGUUUCUUUUAAAACUGUUUUAAAGAGUUGAAAGUGGUUGCCUCUAGAGAGUGAAAAAAAUAAGGGGCAGUUGAUGAAAUCAGAAAAUUACUGCUUUUAAAAAAGUGUUAUACAAUCAUUUUAAUUGAUGGUGUAGAAAACAUAAAAUGACACAGAAAAGUGUUUAUAAAAUCUAAGUAAAAAAAACAUUAAAAAGCAUAUAAAUAUUACCUUUGGCUGAAUAUAACAAAGAAUUAAACCAAAGAUUAAUUCAAAACUCUGGGUUUUGGCCAGGCACAGUGACUCACACCUGUAAUCCCAACACUUUGGGAGGUCAAGGUGGAAAGAUCACUUGAACCAGGAGUUUGAGACCAUCCUGGCCAACAUGGUGAAACCCUGUCUCUACUAAAAAUACAAAACUUAGCUGGGUGUGGUGGCAUGCACCUGUCAUUCCAGCUACUGAGGAGGCUGAGGCAUGAGAAUCACUUGGACCCAGGAGGCAGAGGUUGCAGUGAGCUGAGAUCACCAUUGCACUCCAGCCUGGGUGACAGAGCAAGACUCUGACUCAAAAAAAAAUUUGACAACAUUUUCAGGGACCCAAGUUCUUUCCAUCUUUCUUUUUGUAUUUUGAUGUUUUGAGGUAAAAUAUGAUUAUUAAAAUUUACUAUCUUUACUAUUUUGUUUUUUUUUUUUGAGACAGUCUUGCUCUGUCACCCAGGCUGGAGUGCAGUGGUGCAAUCUUUGCUCAUUGCAAACUCGGCUCCUGGGUUGAAACAAUUCUCCUGCUUCAGCCUCCCAAGGAGCUGGGAUUACAGGCAUGCACCAUCAUGCCUGGCUAAUUUUUCUAUUUUUAGUAGAGGUAGGGUUUCAUCAUGUUGGCCAGGCUGGUCUCGAACUCCUGACCUCAUUAUCCACCUGCCUUGGCCUCCCAAAGUGCUAGGAUUACUGGAAUAAGCCACUGUAUCCGGCCCAUCUUUACUAUUUUUAAGUGUAGAGUUCAGUGGUAAUAUAUACAUUAUAUUCUUUUUUCCCCCUUAUCCCCCUUCUCUGCUACCCUUCCCGGCCUCUGGUAAUCACCAUUCUACUCUCUAACUUCAUGAGAUCCACUUUUUUAGCUCCCACAUGAGUGAGAACAUGCAAUAUUUGUCUUUCUGUGCUUGGCUUAUUUCACUUAACAUAAGGGCCUACAGUUCCAUCCAUAUUGUUGCAAAUGACAGAAUUUCAUUCUUUUUUGUGGAUUAAUAAGAUACCACAUUUUGUUUAUCCAUUCAUCCACUACUGGGCAUUUACGUUGAUUACGUAUCUUGGCUAUUGUUAAUAGUGCUUCAGUAAACAUGGGAAUACAGAUGUCUUUUUGAUAUAAUUUCCUUUCUUUUCCAGAAGUGGAAAUGCUGGAUCAUAUGAUAGUUCUAUUUUAAGUUUAGCUGAGAAGCCUCCAUACUGUUCUCUAUAAUGGCUGUUCUAAUUUAUAUUUCCACAAAUGGUGUACAAGAGUUCCCCUUUCUCCACAUCCUUGCUGGGAUCUGUUAUUACCAUUUUGAUACAAGGCAUUUUAACUAGGGUGAUAUUUCACUGUGUGUUUUUUUGAGAUGGAGUUUUGCUCCUGUCACCCAGGCUAGAGUGUAAUGGUGUGAUCUUGGCUCACUGCAACCUCCGCCUCCUGGGUUCAAGUGAUUGUCCUGCCUCAGCCUCCCAAGUGGCUGGGAUUACAGGUGUCUGCAACCAUGCCUGACUAAUUUUUGUAUUUUUAGUAGAGAUGAGGUUUUGCCACAUUGGCCAGCCUAGUCUCAAACUCCUGAUCUCAAGUGAUCUGCCUGGCUUGGCCUCCCAAAGUGCUGGGAUUACAGACAUGAGCCACCACGCCUGGCCAGCUCAUUGUGGUUUUGAUUUGCAUUUCUCUGAUGAUUAGUGAUGUUGAGUAUGUUUUUUCAUAUAUCUGUUGACCAUUUCUUCUUUUGCGAAGUGUCUGUUCAUAUCUUUUGCCCAUUUUUAAUUUGGUUUUUGUUUUUGAGUUGUUUGAGUUCCUUGUAUAUUAUGGUUAUUAAUCUGUUGUCAGAUGGAUAGUUUGCAAAUAUUUUCUCCCAUUCUGUGGGUUGUCUCUUCACUUUAUGAUUGUUUCCUUUGUUGUGCAGAAGCUUUUUAGCUUGAUGUUAUCCUAUUUGUCUAUUUUUGCUUUGAUAGCCACUGCUUUUGAGACCAUACAUAAGAAAUCUUAGCCCAGACCAAUGUCCUAGAGCAUUUCCCAAAUGUUUUCUUCUAGUAGUUUCAUAGUUUCAAGUUUUAGAUUUAAGUCUUUGAUGUAUUUUUAUUUUAUUUUUGUGCAUGGUGAGAGAUAGGGAUAUAGUUUGAUUCUUCUGCAUACAGUCAUCUAGUUUUCCCAGCAUCAUUUAUUGAGGACUAUCUUGCCCUCAUUUUAUGUUCUUGGUGCCUUUGUUGAAAAAGAGUUAGCUGUAAAUGAGUGGAUUUAUAUUGGGGUUCUCUAUUCUGUUCCAUUGGUCUAUAUAUCUGUUUUUAUGCCAGUACCAUGCUGUUUUGGUUAGUAUGGCUUUGGAGUAUAUUUUAAAAUCAGGUAUUGUGACGCUUCUAGCUUUCUUCUUUUUGCUCAGGAUUACUUUCGCUUUUGGGUGUGUUUUUUGGUUCCAUUCAAAUUUUAGGGUUUUAUUUUACUAUUUCUGUGGAGAAUGUCAUUAGUAUUUUGAUAGGGACUGCAUUGAAUAUGUAAAUUGCUUUGGAUAGUAUUGUUAUUUUGGCAGUAUUAAUUUAGCAAUAUUCUUUCAAUUCAUGAUUAUGAAGUGUUAUAUCUUGCCUUUUUUGUGUGUCUGCCUCAAUUUCUUUCAUCAGAGUUUUAUAGUUUUUCUUGUAUAGAUCUUUUACUUCUUUAAUUAGAAUGAUUCCUAGGUAUUUUAUAUUUUUGUAGCUAUGGUAAAUGGCAUUGAUCUCCUGUUUUUCAGAUUGUUCACUGUUGGUGUAUAUAAAUGCUACUGAUUUUUGUAUGUUGAUUUUUUUUUUUGAGACAGAGUCUUGCUCUGUCACCCAGUGCAGUGGUGAGAUCUUGACUCACUGCAACCUUCACCUCCUGGGUUCAAGUGAUUCUCCUGCCUCAGCCUCCUGAGUAGCUGUGAUUACAGGUGCAUGCAGCCACACCCAGCUAAUUUUUGUAUUUUUAGUAGAAAUGAGGUUUCACCAUGUCAGGCUGGUCUUGAAUCCCUCACCUCAGGUGAUCCACCUGCCUCAGCCUCUCAACGUGUUGAGAAUACAGGCGUGAGCCACCACACCCAGCCGUAUGUUGAUUUUGAAUUUUGCAACUUUACUGAAUUAAUUUAUCAACUCAGUUUUUUGGUGGAGUCUUUGGGUUUUUUAAGUUUUUCUUUCCAACUAUUAUUUUAGGUUCAAGGUGUACCUGUGUAGGUUUGUUACAUGAGUAAAUUGCAUAAAUUUUUAGAUUUUUCUAGCUAUAAUAUUAUGUCAUUUACAAACAAGGCUAAUUUGAUUUUUACCUCUCCAAUUUGAAUGCCCUUUAUUUCUUCCUCUUACCUACUUGCUCUGGCCAGGAUUUCCAGUUUUAUGUUGAAUAAAAGUGGUGAAAAUGGGCAUCCUUGUCUUAUUUCAGUCGUUAGAAGAAAGGCCUUCAAUUUUUUCCCAUUCAGUAUGAAGUUAGCUAUCAUAUACAACCUUUAUUAUUUUGAGGUAGGUUCCUUCUAUACCUAUUUUGAUGAUGGUUUUUAUCAUAAAGAGAUGUUGAAUUUUAUCAAAUGCUUUUUUCAGCAUCUAUUGAAAUAAUCAUAUGGUUUUCUUUCUUGAUUCUUUGAAUGUGAUGUGUCACAUUUAAUGAUUUGCAUAUGUUGAAACAUCCUUGCAUCCCUAGGAUGAAUCCCGCUUUAUCAUGGUGAAUGAUCUUUUUCAUGUGUUGUUGAAUUCAGUUUACUAAUAUUUUGUUGAGGAUUUUUGCAUCUAUUAUGUUCAUUGUUGAUAUUGAUUGGUAGUUUUCUUUUUGUUGUUGUUGUGUUCUUGUCUGGUUUUGGUAUCAGGGUAAUGCUGGCCUUGUAGAAUGUGUUUGGAAAUACUCCCUCCUUUUCAACUGUUUUGAAGCAUUUAAGUAGGAUUACUAUUAGUUUUUUAUAUGUUUGGUAGAAUUCAUCAGUGAAGUCAUCAGGUCCUGGCCUUUUCUUUGAUGGGAGACUUUUUAAUUAUGGCUUUGAUCUCAUUACUCAUCAUUGAUUUGUUGAGGUUUUCUAUUUCUUCAGGGUUCAAACUUAUUUUUCCUUUUUUUGAGAUAGGGUCUCACUCUGUCAUCCAGGCUGGAGUGCAGUGGCAUGAUCACAGCGAACUGCAGCCUUAACCUCCCAGGUUCAAUCAAUCCUCCCACCUCAGUCUCUCAAGUAGCUGGGAUUACAGGCACAUGCCACCACACUUGGCUAAUAUUUUUUUGUAGAGAUGAGGUUUCACCAUUUUUUCCAGGCUGGUUUUGAACUCCUGACCUCAAGUGAUCCACCCACCCCACCUCAGCCUCUCAGAGUGCUGGGGCACAGGCAUAAGCCACCAUGCCUGGCCCAUGAUUCAAUCUGGAUGGGUUGUAUGUAUCCAGGAAUGUAUCCACUUCUUCUAAGUUUUCCAAUUUGUUGGCAUAUAGUUGUUCAUAAUAGUCUCUAAUGAUUCUUUGUAUUUCUGAGUUCUCAGUUAUUAUGUAUUCUUUUCCAUUUUGACUUUAUUUAUUUGGGUUUUCUCUCUUUCUACUUAGUCUAGCUAAAGUUUUUAUCUUUUCAAGAAACCAACUUUUCAUUUUGUUGAUCUUCUGUAUUUUUUUUUAAGUCUCAGUAUCAUGUAUUUCUGCUCUGAUCUUUAUUGUUUCUUUCCUUCUACCAAUUUGGGAGUUAGUUUAUUCUUUCUUUUCUAGUGCCUUGGAGUACAUCUUUAGUUAUUUUAUUUGAAGUCUUUCUAUUUUUGAUAUAGGAAUUUAUUGAUAAACUUCCCUCUAGUAUUGCUCUUGCUAUAUCCCAUAUAUUUUAGUAUGUUUUAUUUCCAUUUUCAUUUAUUUCAAGAAAAUUUAAAAGUUCCUUCUUAAUUUUUUCAUUGACUAUUUAAGAGCAUGCUGUAUGAUUUCCAUGUGUUUGUGUAUUUUCCAAAGUUUCUCUUGUUACUAAUUCCUAGUUUUAUUUCUCUGUGGUCAGAAAAGCUACUCAAUAUGAUUUCUAUUUUUAAAAUUUGUUUGGGUAUAUUUUGUGGCCUAAGAUAUGGUCUAAUCUGGAGAAUAUUCCAUGUGCAAUGAAAAGAAUCAGUAUUCUGCAGCACGGAAUACACAGAAUGAAGUUAGCUGUCAUAUGGAUGAAAAUGUUCUGUAAAUGUUAAUUACGCCUAUUCUAGUGUGUAGUUUAUGCUCUUUGUUCAUUUUCUGUCUGGAUAAUCUGUCCAUUACUGAGAGUGGGGUGUUAAAGUCGACUACUAUUAUAUUGCAGUCUAUCCUUUUAGAUCUAUUAAUGUUUGCUUUAUAUACUUGGUGGUUCUGGUGUUGUGUGCAUAGAUUUUUAUAAUUGUUAUAUCCUCUUGCUUAAUUGACCCCUUUCAUGAUCCUCUUUGUUUCUUUUUACAAUCUUAGAUUUGUAGUCUAUUUUACGUAAGCAUAGCACUCCUGCUAUUUUUGGUUCCCAGUUGCAUGAAAUAUCAUUUUCCACCACUUCACUUUUGGUCUAUGUGUGUCUUUAUAAGUGAAGAGUUUCUUGAAGGCACCAUAUAGUUUGGUCUUUUUUUAAUUCAUUCAGUCACUCUAUGCCUUUUAUUUGGAAAAUUGAGACGAUUUACAUUCAGUAUUAUUAUUAAGUAAAGACUUACUACUGCCAUUUUUUUUUUGGUCUAUUUUCUGAUUGUUUUAAGACUCCUUUCUUCCUUUCCUACUGUCUUCCUUUGUGGUUAUUUUCUCUGUUAAUAUGUUUUAAUUUUUUGUUUUUUAUUUUUAGUAAAUCUAUUAUAGGUUUCUGGGCUGUGGUUACCAGGAGGUUUACAAAAAAUAUCAUAUAGAUAUAAAAAGUUAUUUUAAAGAGAUAAUAUUUUAGAUUAUAAAGAGAGGAACAGAAACAAAGGCAAACACAUACACACAAAAUUCCACAUUUUGACUUAGUUGUCUCAAUUUACAUAUUUUUAUAUUAUCUAUCUCAAUAUGUUGCUAUAACUAUUGUUUUUGAUUGAGCUUCAUACUAGAGUUAUGAGUGCUUAUACACCACAAUUAUUGUAACAGAAUAUUCUGAGUAUUCUAUAAUUUUUUUUUUUUUUUUUGAGAUGGAGUCUCACUCUGUGGCCAGACUGGAGUGCAGUGGCAAGAUCUUGGUUCACUGCAACCUUCACCUCUAGUGUUCAAUCGAUUCUCCUGCCUCAGCCUACCGAGUAGCUGGGACUACAGGUCUUGAACUCCUGUGUUCAGGUGAUCCACCUGCUUUGGCCUCCUGAAUUGCUGAGAUGACAGGUGUGGUAAGCACAAUGCCCGGCUUACUUUUAUUUUUGACAGUAAGUUUGUAAAACUGAGUAAAUUUUGUAACUUAAUACUGCAACUAUUCCAUCUCCACUUUGAACCUUGAUUUCACAUAAAUUAGAUGAGAUUGAAAAUAUAUAUUAUGUUUUAAGAACUAAAAUGUAAUCAUCACCUUAUAAUAUAUUAAUUUAAUGUUACACUGGAUUGCUAUAUCAUGGGAUUUGUAAAAGAUACCAAUAUCAUUACAGCAGUAUGUUGAAAGCAUACUAAGAUCAAAUUUCUGCAGGUUAUUUUGAGGCCCAGCAAACUUAAACUCCAAAAAUAACCCAACUUACAAAGAGGAUUAAUAUGAAUGAGGAAAUACUGCCCUAAUGUGGCAAAGUUUAGAGUUAUAAUUAUGCAGUUGGAUCUUUAAUAAAAAAAUUUUCAAUCAAAUCAAACAAAAAACUCACUGAAAUGAAUAUAAAAUAACAAAUGUUUACCUUUGUUCUGUUUUUGAAGUGCUGAACAUUUUUCUAAACAGCUGACAGGAGUAAAGACAUCAUUAUAGUCCAUGUGGGUAUAUAAGCUGGCCUCCUCUACUUCAAUUUGGGAGUCUGGAUUUGAACUUGGAACAACUUCGUCAAAUUCACAGUUAAUCUGGGUCACCAUUCUUGUAAUUGUUUUUCUGUGACAGUAUAAAAUUACUAAUGUUAUGUUUAUGGCCUAUUUUAAAACACUUUUAUUGGUAAAUACUAUAUUUCACUGUGGAAAGAAAUUAUCAAAUUCCAACAGAUACAGAGAAGAAACAUAUAUAAUCCCAUCACUCAAGAUGAAUAUAAAAAUUAUGUAAAUCUCUCAAUUUAAAAAAAAUCUUUAAAUAGUAGAUUAAUGACAAUAGCAUUCUAUAACCUGUUCUUUCCUGUAAAACAAUGAAGAAUGAACACAUUUACAUGUCAAUCAAUGUACAUUCAACUAAUAUUUGAAUGGAUACACAGGUAUCAGUAAAUCAUGAUUUAUUCAACCAAUUCCUGAUUGCUGGAAAUUUAAGUUUGUUUUAAUUGUUUGGUAUUGUGAGCAACAAUGCAAAGAACAUCUAUAUUCACUAAUAAUCUCAAAAUACAUUUCUUAAAAACAGAAAUGAUGAAGUUAAAGGUAUACAGAUUUUUAGGUUUUGCCACACAUUGCCAAACUGCCUUUGUGCUGGAUAUUCAAUGUCUGUUCCUCAAUAAAAUUACCCAAGCUUUUAUGUUCUUUUCUGUAACCUGGGAAGCUAAUCUCUAUGUUCUAACCAAGCUUCCUUAUCCUCUGGCUUCUGGAUGGGUUCAGCCAUGGAAAGCACUGGCAGACGAGCGAAGGUGAGAGAGAGACAGGUUGGAAUAUUAUUCCUCCCAAAUCCUUCUCUGUUGGGCCACAGUUUGGAACUGGCUGCACUCUUCCACCAAAAGUUACAUCCCUUGUCAGACAGCCCUGCUCCCGUAGUUCUUACUAGCUUGGUAACUGCAUAGGCACCUUGUUCCUUCAAUCUUAGGGUAGUAACAGCUUUGUAACUGCCCAGCGGGUUCACUUUGCUCACUGCCUAGACAGUCGAUUUAUCAAGACAGGGGAAUUGCGAUGGAUACAGAUUAAUUCAUGCAGAGCCAGCUGUGCACGAGACCAGUGUUUUAUUAUUACUCAAAUCAGUCUUCCUGAGCAUUGGGGGAUCAGAGUUUUUAAAGAUAAUUUGGCAGGUAAGGGCUUGGAAAGUAGGGAGUGCUGACUGGUCAGGCUGGAGAUGAAAUUAUAAGGGAUGCAAGUGAGGUUUUCUUGCUGUCUUCUGCUCCUGGGUGGGAUUGCAGACCUGGUUAAGCCAGAUUACUGGCUAGGUGGUGUCAGCUGAUCCAUUAAGUGCAGGGUCUGCAAAAUAUCUCAAGCACUGAUCUUGGAUUUUAUAAUAGAGAUGUUAUUCUCAGGAGCAAUUUGGAGAGGUUCAGAUUCUUACAGACAGAGGCUUCAUGACCCCUAACCCAAAAUUUCUAAUCUUGUAGAUAAUUUGUUAGUCCUACAAAGACAAUCUGGUCCCCAGGCAAGAAGUGGGUCUUCUCAGGAAAAGGCUAUAAUCAAUUUUGUUUCAGAGUCAAACCAUACACUAAAUUCCUUCCCAAGAUUAGUUCAGCCUACACCCAGGAAUGAACAAGGGCAGUUUAAAGGUUAGAAGCAGGAUGGAAUCAGUUAGGUCUGAUCUCUUUCACUGUCAAAAUUUCCUCAGUUAUAAUUUUGGGGAAGGCAGUUUUAACUUCCUACUGUUGCUAGUCCUGAGGACAUCUUUUUGGCUCUUUUAACCUUGCCCUUACCUGUUUCCUGAUUGAUACAGGUGUAUCUGCCAUUGUCUAUACCAUUACAAUUGUUGGCAUUACAAGAGAUCUUCCAAUAGAUAAAUAUAUUAUUGGCAACUUAGUUAUACGUCCUAAUAUACUUUUUUCCUGAUAUCCUGGAACAUUACAGCCCUGAUCAUUCCUUUGUGCAGACUGAAAGAACCAAAAUCAGUAUAAGUCUCCAUACGGGAGAAAAGACCAAUUAUGUCAUAUCUGUAGGAUAUGUAUUUUCCUCUUCAAAGAACCAGUAUGUCAGUAUGUUCAGCUUCCCUGUUCUUUGCUCUCUAUUUUAAGGUUCAAAUUCCGUGUUCUUUAUGUCCUCUUCCCCCUGGUUUCAGUAAACAACCCCUUCCUAGUCUCUAUCACUAGUGGCUCUGUCCUUAGUCACCUGCUCUGUCCUUAGUCAUCCUUAGUCACCUACUCUGUAACACAUCCUUCCCACCAAAACUACUAACUCUGCCACACUGGAUUGUACCCCUGCUCUCUAUAAAAUAGCCAAUCAGAAUUAGCUUAGACUGUGCAGUCCAACACUAGCUAAUAGGGGAAAGACACAGCAGUAGGAACUAGUUGCAUCAGGGAUAAGACACCCUUCCCCUACCUUCUCUGAUGUGCUCUUGCCAUUCCUCCAUCCCUGAGAUGCACCCUUCUAUAGAAGUAAAUUUGCCUUGCUGAGUAAAUUUAUGUUUGAGUGCUAUUUCUUUUGCGGCACUGAAAAUUUGUUUUUAACAUAUCUUAAAAUCAUAGAUGGAGAAAGCUUUAGAAUUUAUCCUUUAAGAAAAUACAAAGUAGUGGAAAAAAUAUUUUAACUCUUCAAUGUCCAUAUUACUAAUUAAGAUCCCUGAAUCCUAUAUGGAUCGUAUAUACUGAACUCAGUGUUUACAUAGUUGCUGUUGUUUUAAAACAAAUGUUGCUCACAGGGUCAGCACUCUAUAACAAUGCUUGGUACUACAGUUUUGAGAAUACCAGUCAAUUUUAUUUCUGUAGACACAAAAGAUCUAUGAAGAUCAGUGUUUCCUGGCUCUCCUCAUGUACCUCUCUGUCAAUAUAUUUAUUCUCUUUUCACUGGUGCCUCCUCCUUUGCAUAAUGUGUCUUUACACUGGUCUUUACCAGGUUUCUACUCCAGAUCAUCUUUACUUUCCUUCUACAUCAUUCCUUUUAAGUCAGUUAAUCUACUCCCAUUCAUUAAUUUGUAAACUUAACAAAACUAUUUAUUAAGUGUCUGUAAUGUGCUAACACCAUUCUAGAUACUGAGAAUGGGGUAGUAAACAAAACAAAGUUCUUUCCUUCAUAGAGCUUAUCUCCUAAAAGGAAGAUAGAAAAAUAAGUAUAUAACAUAAUUUCAGGUGGUAAAAAAUGUUAUGACUAGGUCAGGUGUGGUGGCUCAUGCCUGUAAUCCCAGCAUUUUGGGAGGCUGAGGGAGGUGGAUCACCUGAGGUCAGGAGUUUGAGACCAUCCUGAUCAAUAUGGUGAAACCCCAUCUCUACUAAAAAUAAAAAAAUAAAAAAUAGCUGGGCAUGGUGGCAGAUGCCUGUAAUCUCAGCUACUCGUGAGGCUGAGGCAGGAGAAUCACUUGAACCUGGGAAGCAGAGUUUGCAGUGAACUGAGAUCGUGCCACGGUAUUCCAGCCUAGGUGACAGAGAGAGACUCUGUUUCAAAAAGAGGGAGAGAGAGAGAGAGAGAGAGAGAGAGAGAGAGAGAGAGAGAGAGAGAGAGAGAGAGAGAGAGAUAAAGUACUGGUGGGGAGCGGUGGCUCACACCUCUAAUUCCAGCACUUUGGAAAGCUGAGGUGGGUGGAUCGCUUGAGGCUAGGAGUUUGAGACCAGCCUGGCCAACAUGGUGAAACCCCAUCUCUACUAAAAAUACAAAAAUUAGCCAGAUGUGGUGGUGCAUGCCUAUAAUUCCAGCUACUCAGGAGGCUAAUGUACAAGAAUCACUUGAACCCAGGAAGCAGAGGUUGCAGUGAGCUGAGAUUGUACCACUGCACUCCAGCCUAGGUGACAGAGUAAGACUCUGUCUCAAAAAAAAAGAGAGAGAGAGAGAGAGAGAAAGAGACUGCCUCCAAAAGAGAGAGAGAGAGAGAGAGAAAGCACUAAUACAUGUGACAACAUGGACAAACCCUGAAAACAUUAUAUUAAGUAAAAGAAAUCAAUCACAAUAAAAGCACAUAUUGUAUGAUUCCAGUUAUGUGAAAUAUCCAGAAUAGGCAAAUCAAUAGACAGAAAGUAGAUUCUGAUUCAGUUAGUCCAUUUUGGAGCCUGAGAUUGUGCAUUUCUAAUAUAUUUCUAGGUGUUAUUGAUGCUGCCAGUCCAAAGACCUACUUUGAGUAACAAGAUGCGAGAUGAUCUCUAAGAUCUCUUUUCACCUUAUGAAAUAAUAAUUUAGUUUUUACCAAACUAGCCCAAUUAUUGCCUUUGCUGAAUAGUGAUUGCAUAUUUCAGCAUCUAUGCCUGGAAACAUGUUGUUUCCUCUGCUCAAAAUCCUUUCUCUUGAGUUAAUUUCUCUUUCAUUGCCCAGCUAUUUAAGCUCAAUUCCUACUUAUGUGAAGCUGACCUCUCCUACUUACAAAUGCACAGCUCUACCAAUCUAACUUAUAAGGUGAAAAGAGAUCUUAGAGAUCAUCUUGCAUCUUGUUACUCAAGGUAGGUCUUUAACUGGUAGCAUCAGUACCACCUAGAAAUAGAUUAGAAGGGCUCCAAAACAGAAUCUGAAUAAUAAUCUGCAUUUUAAUAAGAUCCUCAGGGGAUUCAUAUGUACACUAAAGUUUGAGAAGCACUGAUCCAUCAUCAUCAUACUGAUAAAAUAAGGAUCAUAGGUAAAAUGACCAGCAAAGGAGUUAGCGCUUGACUUUUGCAGUCAAGGUUUAAAAUCUACAUAUUUUAAUUCAUAGUGCAGAGCUUUUUUCACUAUACUGUUCUGUUUCCUUGCUGCUUAGGAGUUUACUCAUGUAAUACAUACUUCUAAUUGGCCAUAUGCCUUGUUAUAGACUUUAUGUUGGUCAUCCUAUAUUAUCAUUUAAUUCUUACAUUGUUAAUUUUUUCUGUACUUAUCUAUUAUCUUCCUAACCUGACUUUAAAUUCCUAGAUGACAAAGAUUGCAUAUUGGGAUUCACUGUAUCCAGUGUAGACACCUUUCAAUGGUUUUUUUGUUUCUUUGAAGCACAACUAAGGAAAAUUUAAAUUACAGAAACUCAAAAAUGUAAAUAAUAAUGGAAUCUUUCCUGGGUCUGAUCAGCAUUCUGUGCAUGAAGUGAAGCAACAGAGUAAAUUAUUAAAUUUGCACUAAAAUAUCUACUUUAUGUCUAUAUUUACAAUGUAGAACAGGUUAGAUGUUCUUCCUCAUAUUAUGUUCUGAGUGCCUAUAUCUGUCAUUGUACUUUGUGCAUUGCAUUGUAAUUAUUUCUUUAUAAAACUGUAUUCCUUGUUUUCAUGUGUUCUUUGAAGAUUAAGACUAUGUCUUAUUCAUUUUUAUAUCUUGUAUCUAAUACAUAGCAUGAUAAUAAAUAUUUGAUGAAUGCUUAAACUAAUAAUAAAUAAUGUUUUGACCAAAUAUAUUACCAAAAAUAGCCUUAAAUCUGCAUUUUUAUUAAAGGGAAAAAGAGUUUAAUAUGAAGAACUUCCUACAGAUACUUUCUACAGAAAGUUUACUAAUUAAAAAAGAGGAUAGAAGUCACUCCUAUUAACUACUCCUUUGUGGUUCAAAUUAGGACCUUUUCUUCAGAUAAAAGAAGAAAAUCCGUGAAGAAAUAAAGGAAGAUAUUUCCAUCUUUAGGUUUCUGGAGAACUUACUGUUUAUCUUCUUUUAGAUGUAAAAGAGAAAUUUGAGAUUAAGGAUACAUACUUCUCAAGGAAGUCGUCCACAAAGAGACUUGCUUUCCAUUGGUCCAAGACUGAGGUAUCUGUCAUUCCCAGAACUGAAACAGCUGAGACUAGAAAGGAUAAUGCCUUCUGUUAGAAGAAGAUGCCAACAAGGACUUUCAUAGCUUGAGAGAAGUCAACGCCUGGCUUCAGAGCUUCAAAGGACAAGCUGACUCUUGCUAGAAGCUAAUGCCGUUGCUGAUUUUAAGUUGAAGCUAAUGCUUAUUUACCAUACUGAAAAUCCCAGGGCCCUGAAGAAUACUAACUCUACCCAAUCUAUGCUCUAUAAAUGGAACAAAACCUGGAUGAUGGCACAUGUAUUUACAACAUGGUUUACUGAAUAUUUUAAGCCCAUUUUGAGACCUACUGCUCAGAAAGAAAAAAAAAAAGGAAUACUUUCAAAAUAUUACAGCUCAGUGACAAUGUACCUGGCCACCCAAGAGCUCUGAGGGAGAUGUACAAGGAGAUUAAUAUUUUUACACCUGCUAAUGCAAUAUCUAUUCUGCAGCCUAUGGAUCAAGGAGUCAUUUCAACUUUAAGGUCUUAUGGAAAUAAAUAUAUUUUGUAAGGAUAUAGCUGCCACAGAUGGUGAUUCCUCUGAUAGAUCUAGGCAAAGUCCUUUGAGAAAGGAGAACAAUUCUGGAUGCCAUUAAGUAUAUUUGUGAUCAUCAGAGGAGGCCAAAAUAUCAACAUGAACAGAAGUUUGAAAGAAGUUGAUUCCAACCUGCAUGGAUGAGUUUCAAGAAUUCAAGACUGCAGUGGAGGAAGUACAUAACUAUAGAUGUGAUAGAAAUAGCAAGAGAAUUUAAAUUAAAAAUGGAUGCUGAAGGUGUGGUUGAAUUACUGCAAUCUCAUGAUAAAACUUGAACAGAUGAGGAGUUGCUUCUUAUGGAUGAGCAAAGCAAGGGGUUUCUUAAAACGGAAUCUACUCCUGGUGAAGAUACUGUAAACAUUGUUAAAAUGACAACAAAGUAUUCAGAAUAUUCCAUAAAUUUAGUUGAUAAAACAACAGCAGAGUUUUAGAGGAUCGAGUCUAAUUUUCAAAGAAGUUCUGUGAGUAAAAUGCUAUCAAACAGCAUUGCAUUCUACAGAAAUCUUUGGUGAAUCAAAGACUCAAUCGAUGUAGCAAACUUCAUUGUUGCCUUAAGAAAUUGCCACAGCCACCACUUUGAUCAGUCAGCAGCCGUCAACAUCAAGGCAAGACACUCUACCAGCAAAAAGAUGAUGACUCACUAAAGACUCAGAUAUUGAAUCAAUCUAACAGUGGUGAGUGGAGUGGAUACAAGAUAGAUUGCUCUUAUUUCUAAAACCAAAGAUAUGGGGGAAAUGAACAAAAUCAUGGAGAGAAGGUGAUUCUAAACACUGCUGCCAGGAUGAUAUUUCUAAAACAGUUAACUGAGAAUACCACUUUCCUGCUUAAAUUCGUUCAACUGUCACCUCCAGCAUAAAACCUGAAAUCCUUAUAUGGAACAACUCGCAGUCAAUCCCAUUUAUUAUGGAAUCCUGAACUGUUGGCCAUUCUCUGAAUAUCUCUCAGAUUCUCCCACUCCUAAGUCUUUGUUCCUGCUAAUUUAUUUUGUACUCUGAUCACAUGUUGAAAUCCUACUUAUUCUAUAAAUUUUAAUUUAAUAUAUUUCCUCCUCCCACUGGCACUCUUAGUGAGAAUUAGUGGUUACCUUUUGUUAUUCCUACAAUUUUUGUUAGUAUCCUUUUCAUGUUUUGCAUUAUAAUUGUUUUGUUCAUGUCUGCCUUCCCCAUCAGACUUCAGUCUUCUUGAUAUCAUGGCCAUGAAUCAUGUCUUAAUUAUCUUUAUGUAACUAGCACAAUGCCUUAUCUAGAGUAAGUACUGUGAUGAAUAUUUAAUUACAUUCACUUCUUCACAUCUGGCACUAGGUUAUUUUGAAAUAAUGACUAUCAAUUUUCUUGUACUUCCUACUAAAUAUAGGUUUUCAGGGUUUUUGCAGGAGCAAACGUGUAUGAAAUAUUACACACACACACACACAUACAUGCCUGUGCAAAAGUAAACAUGGCAUGAAUAUAACAGAUAAUCAGCUUGAGACAGAAUUACAGAUUAGCUCAAACCAGAUCAUGCAGAAAAUCUGGAUAUGGAAUAAAAAGUAUUGCACAAAUAUGUUGCAUAAGUAAUUUAUUGUCUUCUGGCUGCUAAUUUAUAGGUGUAACCUCACAUACUAUCUUUUGAUCACCAUUAAGGGACUGUUUUACACCAAUAGACUGAGAGCAAACAUUUUAAUACAACAUAUUCAGUCUAAUUAAGCUGGAUAAUUACUGCUGGAAAAGAGGUAUGGUAGCAACAGCAUGUAAAGAAAUUUUUGCAAGUAUGGAAGGGAAACCUAACAUUUCAUAUUCAUGUAGAUUACCUCUUUUCAGAUACAAAAAGACAAAUAUUGUUCUAGCCUAUUUUGGCAGUAUUUGUCUCUGUAAACACUAUUACUUUUCUCUGUCCCAUAUGUUCAACCCCUCAAUGCUUUUCUGAUUAUGAACAAUUUCACAUAUCAUAUGCUUAUUGGAUCUUUUACCUGAAAAAUUCAGGUAAGCCAAGAUUCUUGUCAUAAACUUUAUCUAUGCUUAGACUUCACUUUGUAACCCAGAAGAAAAAGUGGCAAUUGGGCGACCAUUUCCAUGGGAAAUGUAGAAGUACUAAUCCCAUGCUUUCACAUUUGCCUAGGUAAUAUUUACCCUAAAACCUUGCGUAUGAUGUGGUCCAGUGAAGUUAAGCAGUUUGCCCAGAAUUACAUAGGCAGAUCUAGAACUCAGGUCUUCUGACUUCUGCCCUGUGAGGUAUAACCUUACUUAUUGAUUUAUCCAUCAGUUAUUUUUAAGCGUAUAUUAUGAGCAAGUAAAUGUGCUAGUUGGGGAGAGCAAACUGAUUCUACUCUUUCAAUGUAAUAGGGAAAAGAAACCAUUUACGUAAAUAUUAUUCCUUGAGAAAAUUAAUGUCAUAAGAAUAUGGAAGUUUAAAAAAGGAAAUAGUGCUUUAUUAUUUCAACAAAUAAGUUAUAGAGAUGCAAAAAAAUUGAUUAGAUAACUCAUUUAGAUAUUUUACCAGAUUAUCUGCACCAAUGGGAAGUCUAGCUGUUUAGACCACAAAAGUCACAAUAUAGCAGACUGUGUACUUGAUGGAAGAUGUAACUUGCAAAACAAAUAACAGCCAAAGGUCUAAACUUGCAAAUUUGAACUUUAAUAAGUUAUAAUAGAUGUCUCAAAUAUCCAAGGUAACAAACAUCAUCCUUAUAAAACGUGGAAAAACUAUUAUAUCUUUCUCUCACCAAAAUAAGUCUUAAUGUUGUUUGAGAUAUCUUUGAUUGCUUUUAUGUCUUAUGGUGGAUCAUGAGGUCAGGAGAUUGAGGCCAUCCUGGCCAAUAUGGUGAAACCCCAGCUCUACAAAAAUACAAAAAGAAAAAAAUUAGCCAGAGGUGGUGGUGUACACCUAUAGUUCCAGCUACUUGGGAGGCUGAGGCAGGGGAAUUGCUUGAAUCUGGGAGGCGGAGAUUGCAGUGGCUGAGAUCGCACCACUGCACUCCAGCCUGGCAACAGAGUGAGACUCCAUCACAAAAACAACAAACAAACAAAAUGAAGGAGAUGGGGCAUUGGGCUAAACUUGGGGAGAAGAAUGUUACAUUAAUAAUAAUUUCAUAGGCAAGAAAAAUCAUUUUAUGAAAAGCUGCAAGUAGACCUUUCCCAUAAAUAAAAAUAUUUUGUAAACAACAAUUCUCAUGUAAUUUAGACUUAAUCAUGUGUCUCAGAAUAUAAGCUAAUUUAACAAAUGAUUUUUGAAUACCUACUAUGUGUGCUCAGUAUGUACAACUUCAGGAGAAAGAUAACUUGUGUUGUCUCUUACAGGAAAGAAGAACACCUAGAAACAGUAAUGUUAAUGACCAUCUACUGACCAUCUAUUUAUCAUUUAAUAGACUAUUGACUAUCUUCUUUAAGUACCCUUCUUCUUUGGUUUCUUGCUUCCAAAAACCAGAAACUAUUUCACUUGUUCUCUGCUUGGGCUCUUUAUCAUUUUGGAAGAAAAUAGCAAAACCACAAAAUCAGGCUCAUUAGUUGCACUACAAAUAUAUGCUGUGCAACUUUAGCUAGACUUUCAAUGCCAGUUGUCAAUCAUUAUUUCCAUUCAUUUGGUAUAGACAGCAUGUGUUGAUGUAUGCCAACAAUAUUCUAGGUGUGAGGAAUAGAGUCUCAAACAAGACAUUAUCUAUAUAUUUAUUUAUUUAGAGACAAGAGUCUCGCUCUGUCUCACAGGCUGAAUUGCAGCGGCGCGAUCUUGGCUCACUGCAAUCUCUGUCUCCCAGGUUCAAGAGAUUCUCCUGCCUCAACCUCCUGAGUAGCUGGGAUUACAGGUGUGUGCCACCACACCCGUCUAAUUUUUGUAUUUUUAGUAGAGAUGGGUGUCAGUAUAUCAGCCAGGCUGGUCUCAAACUCCUGACCUGGUGAUCCACCUGCCUUGGCCUCCCAAAGUGCUGGGAUUACAGGCACGCGCCAACAUGCCUGGCUAAUUUUGUAUUUUUACUGGAGAAGGGGUUUCACCAUGUUGGCCAUGCUGAUCUCAAACUCCUGAUCUCAGGUGAUCCACCUGCUCCAGCCUCCCAAAGUGUUGGAAUUACAGGCAUAAGCCACUGCACCCAGCCCUACCUGUUUAUUUCUAAAUGGCCCCUUAUCGUAUUCUAAUAACAUCUAGACCACUGGUUCUCAUUUGGAGGUGACUUUGUCCCUUACGGGGACAUUCGGGCAUGUCUGAAGAAGUUUUUGUUGGUCAAAACUGGGGGAAAGCCAGCCUGGCUAUGUGGCCCCCACCUGCUCCUGCUACUCAGGUGUGGUCUUCACCUGCCAGGCCCUUCCCCCCUAGCUUGGGGCGAGCAGAGCUGCAUCCAGUGGAACUAAAGCUGGUCCAGGAUUAUUGAAAACUGAGCAACAACCUUGUGGGACCUGGGUCAUCAUGUACUCCCCCAACUGGAAGAUAUUUCUCUGGCCUCUAUUCCCAUCUCAAGACCCCACCUUCCACCUAUGGUGGUGAGUCUUCUAUACCCAGUGUGUCGACCUUCAACAGCCCACCUCCACACCAGAUGUCCUGCAAUGGAUGCCUAAGCUUUUGGAGAAACAAGGCUCAUGCCUGUAAUCCCAACACUUUGGGAGGCUGAGGUGGGCCGAUCAUGAGGUGAGGAGUUCAAGACUAGCCCGGCCAACAUGGUAAAACCCCAUCUGUACUAAAAAUACAAAAAUUAGCUGGACAUGGUGGUGGGUGCCUGUAAUCCCAGCUACUUGGGAGACUGAGGCAGGAGAAUCACUUGAACCCGGGAGGCAAAGGAUGCAGUGAGCCAAGAUCACACCAUUGCACUCCUUCCUGGGAAACUGGGCAAGACUCGAUCUCAAAAAACAAACAAACAAAAUACUAGGGGAAAGGGUCCUGGUAUCUAAUAGGUAGAGGUCAAGGAUGUUGCUAAAUGUUCCGCAAUGAACAGGACAGACUCCAUGCUCCCCAAAAAGAAUGAUCUGUUAAAUGAAAUCUAAGAAAUCUUGAUCUAGACUAAUCUAUUCCCACAUUCUCCAUACUCUUCUAGUCAUAUAUAUAAGGCCUAUCUCAUUUCCUGCAGGUGACCUCAUAUUCUGCUUGAGUGGGAAGUUGUGUUUUUUUCCACUUUUCUCUUUUUAUCUCAAAAUGUCCAUUUAGCCUCAUUUGGCAUUUUCUUACUCUCUUCUUUCUGUGAAUAAGUAUUUCUCUUUCUUUCUAAUAUAUUAUCUUUUAAUCUUUAUGUCUUAUCUUAUCCUCCAAAUUAUUUAUACCUACAAAAAUACAUUCUGUAUUACAGUGUACAAACAGAUAAGAAAAGCAGAGUACUAUUUCCCUUGAAUUCGAUAUCUCAUCCCCACUCACCUCCUCCAGAACUUAGUUUGUAGGUGUUUCCCUCUAAUGUACAUCUUCAUUCUGUCUCCUAUCAUGUCUUUUCUGUAUCUAAAAAGUGCUUCUAAAAAUAUUUUCUAACACUCUUAUUUUGAACCUUUUACUUUAAAACUUUUUUGUAUUCCUAUGACUCCACUACCUCUUUCCUAGACUACUGUAAUUUUCUCAUAGCUGUUCUCCCAGCCUCUAAUCUAGUCUACAUAGUGCUGUCAAAUAAGAUUAUACUUACUACUCUAAUUAAAGUCCUUUGGUAGUUAACCAAUAAUAACUUUGAUAUGUCAAGCAUCUCCUAUUUUCAAGGUACGAAGCUUGGUACAUAAGUUAGUAUUAGUCUCUCUAUUAGAUAAAAGAGCAAACUGAGGUUUAAAGAGGUCAAGUGGCUUGCUCAAAACUAUAUAGCUAAGAAGUGAGGGGCCAAGACAAGUCUAAUGCCAAAGUUUGUACAUUUCACACAAGUCUUCAUUUCCUAAGGAAUGAAUUCUAAACUCCUUAGUGUGGCCUUCAGGACUCUUUGUGAUCUGGUUCCAUGCUUUUUCCAGCUACUGCUGACCUUCAUCCACCCUACACUACUGUUAAAUUACUGUUGUUUUCUCCAUACUAUCUUUGCUUUCAUUUCUUCUGUUUGCUCCCUCUCAUACUGUACUGUCUUAGUCCAUUUUCUGUUGCUUAUAACCAAAUACCUGAAAAUUAGUUAUUUAUAAGAAAAGGAGUUUAUUUUUUGCAGUUAUGGAGGCUGAGAAGUCCAAGGUCAAGGGAUUGCAUUUGGUGAGAGUCUUUUUGCUGGUGGGAACUCUGCAAAGCCCCCAACUGGUACAGGGUAUCACAUGGCCAGGGGGAUAAGCAUGGCAGAUCAGGUCUCUCUUCUUCUUAAAAAGCUACCAAUGCCACUCCCAUAAUAACCCAUUAAUUCAUUAAUUCAUGAAUGGGUUAAUCCAUUCAAGAAGGCAGAGCCCUCAUGACCCAAUCACCUCUCAAAGGCCCCUUCUCUCAAUACUGCUACAUUGGGGAUUAAAUUUCAACAUCAGUUUUGGAGCAAACAAAUAUUCAAACCAUAGCAUAUGCCCUCUGUCUACAUGAUCUUUCUCACACAUCCUCAUAGGUCCAAGUACUUAUUCAUUUGUCAAAGCCCAGUUCAAGCUUCCCAGUUAAAUUUCCUGAUCUCUGAUCUGCUCUUUUCUUUUUUACUGGUAGAGCUUUUCUUACUUUCAAAUUUUGUUAUCAUUAAUUGUAUGUAUGCUCUUUUGUCCUUCUACUCACACUCCUUUAGAGCAAGGAAUUUGUUAUGUGAUAGUAACCUUUUUGUGUAACAUUUUAUAAACACUCUCUUUUUUUUUUUUUUUUUUUUUUAGACAGAGUCUUGCUCUGUUGCCAGGCUGGAGUGCAGUGGCGUGAUCUCGGCCCACUGCAACCUCCACCUCCCAGGUUCAAGCAAUUCUGCCUCAGCCUCCCCAGUGGCUGAGGCUCCAGACAUGUGCCACCACAUCCAGCUAAUUUUUGUAUUUUUAGUAGAGACAGGGUUUCACCAAGUUGACCAGGAUGGUCUUGAUCUCUUGACCUUGUGAUCUGCCUGCCUCAGCCUCCCAAAGUGCUGGGUUUACAGGCAUGAGACACCACACCUGGCCAAGCACUGUUUCAUGUAUGUUAAAAACCUGACAAAGAGUAGGAGCUCAGUAAAUGUUUGUUUGGUUCUCAUCUUCAUAGCAACUCUCCAAGGUAUUAUUAUACUUUACUAUUAGUAAGGAAACUAAAGCUCCAAGAUGUGAAGUGACCUGCCCAAGAGCAUAAAUGUUCCAGGGUAACCGAAGCUCCAACUGGAAAAUUCUGUCUCAGUUGAAAGUUAUUUCUGCUACCCUACCUAUGGCAUCAGAGUUUUGUUUUCCCAUAUAUAUCCUAUCUCAAUACCUUGGUCUAAGUAGUUUUUGAAUAAGAGGUAAAUGAAUGAGUAAAUGUUUGUUAAGAUUCUUUCAUGAGAAUCAUGAGAGAUUUGUUGGUCACUGAAAAUAAGAGUAUUUGAGGAUAUGACUCAUUCUCACACAUAGUAUUUAUUGUUCACUUACGCAGAAGGAAAACAAUUCUCCCAUUCUGAUAAAAUGUCUUAAACAACAUUUUAUGUUCUCCACGUAAGAACACCAGCGUUACACACCUUUAACAAACACGGUUUUAUAUUUCACUUAAAAUCAGAAGCUAGUAAGAAAAUUGAGGAAAUAAUUUUUCAUCUUUUAGUUUUAAUUUUUACAUAGCGAAAUUUAUCAUUCUCUUUCUUAUAGUUUCUGCCUUUAGGGCCAUAUUUGGAAAAGCCAACUCCAUCCCAAAGAUUGCAUAAAUUUUCAAAUAUAUUUUCUUCUGUUUUUAUCAUGUCAUCUUUUACAUUUAGAACCUCUAGGAUGAUAUAUGUAUAUAUGGGUGUGUAAGGCAUAAAAUGUGUUCUAGAUUUAAUAUUUUUCUUACAAAGUUUAAUGAAUUACCUCAACACUGUUUUUUGACUUUUCCCUUUUAUUUUAAAUUACGUCUUUACCAUUUACUCCCAUGUACUAAAUUCUACAUACUUAAUUUGUUCUGUUAAUUUGUCC